This 47724-nucleotide long non-coding RNA is filed under the name Triticum aestivum (bread wheat). RNAcentral's name for it is "long non-coding RNA (TAES_LNC009072)". The stretch from base 31447 to 31573 matches the Rfam family "MIR1120/MIR1122 microRNA precursor family". The record is from RNAcentral. Lineage: Eukaryota; Viridiplantae; Streptophyta; Magnoliopsida; Poales; Poaceae.
UGUUUUUUGUUUUUGUUCCUGUUUAGUAAUAAUUCUUGCAUCUACUCUAUAUUUAGACGUGUUUUUAUCUUUUAAUUAGUGUUUGUGCCAAGUAGAACCUAUAGGGUAAACUAUGAUGAUAGUUGAUUUGAUUCUGCUGAAAAACAGAAACUUUGCGCUCACGAGAAAAAAUUCAAUAAACCACAGAAAUGUGAUUUUGCAUUGAUUCUUUUUUAUGCUGAUCAAUAGAAAAAAUUCCCAGUACGUCCUAUUUUGGUAGGAUUUUUAGAGUUCCAGAAGUUUGCGUUAGUUACAGAUUGCUACAGACUGUUCUGUUUUUGACAGAUUCUGUUUUUCAUGUGUUGUUUGCUUAUUUUGAUGCAUCUAUGGCUAGUAAAAUAGUUUAUAAACCAUAGAGAAGUUGGAAUACAGUAGGUUUAACACCAAAAUAAAUAAAGAAUGAGUUCAUUGCAGUACCUUAUGUGGUGAUUUUGUUUUCUUUCACUAACGGAGCUUAUAAGAUUUCCUGUUGAGUUUUGUGUUGUGAAGUUUUCAAGUUUUGGGUAAAGCUUUGAUGGACUAUGGAAUAAGGAGUGGCAAGAGCCUAAGCUUGGGGAUGCCCAUGGCACCCCAAGAUAUUCAAGGAUAGCCAAAAGCCUAAGCUUGGGGAAGCCCCGGGAAGGCAUCCCCUCUUUCGUCUUCGUUCAUUGGUAACUUUACUUGGAGCUAUAUUUUUAUUCGCCACACGAUAUGUGUUUUGCUUGGAGCAUCGUGUAUUAUAUUAGUCUUUGCUUUUUAGUUUACCACAAUCAUCCUUGCUGUACAGACCUUUUGGGAGAAGCCUACUUGAUUAGAAUUUGCUAGAAUACUCUAUGUGCUUCACUUAUAUCUUUUGAGCUUGAUAGUUUUUGCUCUAGUGCUUCAUUUAUAUCUUUUAGAGCACGGUGGUGUCUUAAUUUUGAAGAAAUUUCUAGUCUCAUGCUUCACUUAUAUUAUUUUGAGAGUCUCUUAGAACAGCAUGGUAUUUGCUAUGGUUACAAAGUUGGUCUUAGAAUGAUGAGCAUCCAAGCUGGGUAUAAUAAAAACUGUCAUAGAAAAAGAAUUGGAUGCUAUGAUCAACUUGAUGCUUGAUAAUUGUUUUGAGAUAUAAAGGCAGUAAUGUUAGGGUCAUGCUAGUGGGUAAUUAUGAAAUUGAGAAAUACUUUUGUUGAAGUUGGCAAGUCCCGUAGCAUGCACGUAUGGUAAAAGUUAUGUGACAAAUUUGUUGCAUGAGGUGCUCUUUUGAUUGUCUUCCUUAUGAGUGGCAGUCGGGGACGAGCGAUGGUCUUUUCCUACCAAUCUAUCCCUCUUGGGGCAUGCAUAGUAGUACUUUGCUUCGAGGGCUAAGUAGACUUUUGCGAUAAGUAUAUGAGUUCUUUUUGACUAAUGUGAGUCCAUGGAUAUAUGCACACUCAUCUUUUCACUUUGCUAGCCUUUAUUAAUACCGCGCAACUUCCGCCGGUGUCAUGAACCCUUUAUUUACCUUCCUCAAAACAGCCACCAUACCUGCCUAUUAUGGCAUUUCCAUAGUCAUUCCGAGAUAUAUUGCCAUGCAACUUUCCACCGUUCCGUUUAUUAUGACACAUUCCAUCAUUGUCAUAUUGCUCUUUUGCAUGAUCAUGUAGUUGACAUCGUAUUUGUGGCAAGGCCACCCUCAUAAUUUUCAUACAUGUCGCUCUUGAUUCAUUGCAUAUCCCGAUACACCGCCGGAGACAUUCAUAUAGAGUCAUAUCUUGUUCUAGCUUUGAGUUGUAAUUCUUGAGUUGUAAAUCCAUAUAAGUGUGAUGAUCUUCAUUAUUAGAGCAUUGUCCUAGUGAGGAAAGGAUGAUGAAGGCUAUGAUUCCCCCACAAGUCGGGAUGAGACUUCGGACUUUACAAAAAGAAAAAAGAAAAAAGAAAGAAAAAAGGAGAAAGGCCAAAAAGAAAAAAGAAAAAAAGGCCAAAGAAAAAAAAGAAAAAAAAGAAAAAGAAAAAAAAUGAGAGAAAAAGAUAGAAGGGACAAUGCUACUAUCUCUUUUUCCACACUUGUGCUUCAAAAUAGCACCAUGAUCUUCAUGAUAGAGAGUCUCAUAUGUUGUCACAUUCAUAUACUAAGUGGGAAUUUUUUAUUAUGGAACUUGGCUUGUAUAUUCCAAUGAUGGGCUUCCUCAAAAUUCCCUAGGUCUUCGUGAGCAAGCAAGUUGGAUGCACACCCAUUUAGUUUCUUUUUGUUGAGCUUUCAUAUAUUUAUAGCUCUAGUGCAUCCGUUGCAUGGCAAUCCCUAUUCACUCACAUUGAUAUCUAUUAAUGGGCAUCUCCAUAUAGCCCGUUAAUACGCCUAGUUGAUGUGAGACUAUCUUCUCCCUUUUUGUCCUCACAACCACCAUAUACCACCAUAGUGCUAUGUUCAUGGCUUGCGCUCAUGUAUUGCGUAAGAGUUGAAAAAGCUGAAGCGCGUUAAAAAGUAUGAAACAAUUACUCAGCUCGUCAUUGGGGUUGUGCAUGAUGGGAGUGUUUUGUGUAAUCAAAAUGAAGCACGGCCUAACUAUAUGAUUUUGUAGGGAUAAACUUUCUUUGGCUAUGCUAUUUUGAUAGGACAUGAUUAUUUGUUAGUAUGCUUUGAAGCAUUGUUAUUUUUAUGUUUUAUAAACUUUUAUUUUGAAUCAUUUGGAUCUUAACAUUCAAGUCACUAUAAAGAAAAUUACAUUGAGAAUUAUGCUAGGUAGCAUUCCACAUCAAAAAUUUCUUUUUUAUCAUUUACCUACUCGAGGACGAGCAGGAAUUAAUCUUGGGGAUGCUUGAUACGUCUCCAACGUAUCUAUAAUUUUUUAUUGUUCCAUGCUAUUGUAUUACCCCUUUUGGAUGUUUAUGGGCUUUAUUUUACACAUUUAUAUCAUUUUUGGGACUAACCUACUAACCGGAGGCCCAGCCCGUAUUGCUGUUUUUUUUGCCAUUUCGGUAUUUCGAAGAAAAGGAAUAUCAAACAGAGUCCAAAUGGAAUGAAACCUUCGGGAGCGUGAUUUUUGGAACGAACGUGAUCCAGAGGACUUGGAGUGCAAGCCAAGAAGCAGCCGAGGUGGCCACGAGAUAGGAGGGCGCCCCCUGUCUCGUGGGCCCCUCGGGCGGCCACCCACGUACUUCUUCCUCCUAUAUAUGCCUACGUACCCCGAAAACAUCCAGGGAGCAACCGAAACACAAUUUCCACCGUCGUAACCUUUUGUAUCCGCGAGAUCCCAUCUUGGAGCCUUCGUCGGCGUUCUGCCGGAGGGGGAAUCGACCAUGGAGGGCCUCUACAUCGACAUCCUUGACCCUCCGAUGAGUUGUGAGUAGUUUACCACAGACCUAAGGGUCCAUAGUUAUUAGCUAGAUGGCUUCUUCUCUCUUUUUGGAUCUCAAUACAAUGUUCUCCCCCUCUCUUGUGGAGAUCUAUUCGAUGUAAUCUCUUUUUGCGGUGUGUUUGUCGAGAUCUGAUGAAUUGCGGGUUUAUGAUCAAGUUUAUCUAUGGAUAAUAAUUGAAUCUUCUCUGAAUUCUUUUAUAUGAUUGAGUUAUCUUUGCAAGUCUCUUCGAAUUAUCGGUUUGGUUUGGCCUACUAGAUUGAUCUUUCUUGCCAUGGGAGAAGUGCCUAGCUUUGGGUUCAAUCUUGCGGUGUUCUUACCCAGUGACAGAAAGGGUUGCAAGACACGUAUUGUAUUGUUGCCAUCGAGGAUAAAAAGAUGGGGUUUAUAUCAUAUUUCAAGAGUUUAUCCCUCUACAUCAUGUCACCUUGCUUAAUGUGUUACUCUGUUCUUAUGAACUUAAUACUCUAGAUGCAGGCAGGAGUCGGUCGAUUGUGGAGUAAUAGUAGUAGAUGCAGGCAGGAGUCAGUCUACUUGUUAUGGACGUGAUGCCUAUAUACAUGAUCAUGCCUAGAUAAUCUCAUAAUCAUUCGCUUUUCUAUCAAUUGCUCGACAGUAAUUUGUUCACCCACCGUAAUACUUAUGCUAUCUCGAGAGAAGCCUCUAGUGAAACCUAUGGCCCCCGGGUGUAUCUCUUAUCAUAUUUGCUUCCAAUCUACUUUUUUUUGCAUCUUUACUUUUUCUCAUCUAUAUUAAAAAAUACCAAAAAUAUAUUUAUCUUAUCAUACUAUCUCUAUCAGAUCUUACUUUCGUAAGUGGCCGUGAAGGGAUUGACAACCCCUUUAUUGUGUUGGUUGCGAGUUCUCAGUUUGUUUGUGUAGGUGCGUGGGACUUUUGAGGAGCCUCCUAUGAAGGAAAUAUGCCCUAGAGGCUAAUAAAGUUAUUAUUUAUUUCCUUAUAUCAUGAUAAAUGUUUAUUAUUCAUGCUAGAAUUGUAUUAACUGGAAACAUAAUACAUGUGUGAAUACAUAGACAAACAGAGUGUCACUAGUAUGCCUCUACUUGACUAUCUCAUUAAUCAAAGAUGGUUAUGUUUCCUAGCCAUGGACAAAGAGUUGUCAUUUGAUUAACGGGAUCAUAUCAUUAGGAGAAUGAUGUGAUUGACUUGACCCAUUCCGUUAGCUUAGCACUUGAUCGUUUAGUAUGUUGAUGUUGCUUUCUUCAUGACUUAUACAUGUUCCUAUGACUAUGAGAUUAUGCAACUCCCGUUUACCGGAGGAACACUUUGUGUGCUACCAAACGUCACAACGUAACUGGGUGAUUAUAAAGGUGCUCUAUAGGUGUCUCCGAAGGUACUUGUUGGGUUGGCGUAUUUCGAGAUAGGGAUUUGUCACUCCGAUUGUCGGAGAGGUAUCUCUGGGCCCACUCGGUAGUGCACAUCACUUAAAGCCUUAAAGCAUUGCAACUAAUGAGUUAGUUGCGGGAUGAUGUAUUAUGGAACGAGUAAAGAGACUUGCCGGUAACGAGAUUGAACUAGGUAUUGAGAUACCGACGAUCGAAUCUCGGGCAAGUAACAUACCGAUGACAAAGGGAACAACGUAUGUUGUUAUGCGGUUUGACCGAUAAAGAUCUUCAUAGAAUAUGUGGGAGCUAAUAUGGGCAUCCAGGUCCCGCUAUUGGUUAUUGAUCGGAAACAUGUCUCAUGUCUACAUAGUUCUCGAACCCGUAGGGUCGGCACGCUUAACGUUUCGUUGACGAUAUAGUAUUAUAUGAGUUAUGAAUGUCGGUGACCGAAUGUUGUUCGGAGUCCCGGAUGAGAUCAUGGACAUGACGAGGAACUCCGGAAUGGUCCAGAGAUAAAGUUUGAUAUAUGGGAUAAUAGUGUUUGAUCUCCGGAAGGGUUCCGAAAUUCACCGGAAGGGGUUCCGGAUGUUUCCCGAAAUGUUUGGGUAUGAGAACACGUUAUUUGGGCCAAAGGGGAAAGCCCACGAGGCUUUUGGAAAGUGCAAAAGGAAGUUUUGCGGCGACCAGAGGCUAGACGCCAGGAACCCUGGCGUCUAGGGGGUAGACGCCGGGAACCCUGGCGUCUAGCCCUGGAGUCCGUGUAGGACUCUUGCCUUUCGGGCAAAACCAACUUUGAGGAGGCUUUUACUCCAAGUUUCGACCCCAAGGCUCAACAUAUAAAUAGAGGGGCAGGGCUAGCACCAAAGACACAUCAAGAAACACCAAGCCGUGUGCCGGCAACCCCGUCCCCUGUAGUUUAUCCUCCGUCAUAGUUUAUGUAGUGCUUAGGCGAAGCCCUGCGGAGAUUGUUCUUCACCAACACCGUCACCACGCCGUCGUGCUGCCGGAACUCAUCUACUACUUUGCCCGUCUUGCUGGAUCGAGAAGGCGAGGACGUCAUCGAGCUGAAAGUGUGCAGAACUCGGAGGUGUCGUGCGUUCGGUACUUGGAUCGAUCGGAUCGUGAAGACGUACGAGUACAUCAACCGCGUUGAUAAAUGCUUCCUCUUAGCGAUCUUCAAGGGUAUGAAGAUACACUCCCCCUCUCGUUGCUAUGCAUCACCAUGAUCUUGCGUGCGCGUAGGAAUGUUUUUGAAAUUACUAUGUUCCCCAAUAGUGGCAUCCGAGCCAGGUUUUAUGCGUAGAUGUUAUAUGCACGAGUAGAACACAAGUGAGUUGUGGGCGAUACAAGUCAUACUGCUUACCAGCAUGUCAUACUUUGGUUCGGCGGUAUUGUUGGAUGAAGCGGCCUGGACCGACAUUACGCGUAUGCUUACGCGAGACUGGUUUUACCGUCGUGCUUUGCACACAGGUAACUAGCGGGUGUCAGUUUCUCCAACUUUAGUUGAACCGAGUGUGGCUACGCCCGGUCCUUGUGAAGGUUAAAACAGCACCAACUUGACAAACUAUCGUUGUGGUUUUGAUGCGUAGGUAAGAACGGUUCUUGCUAAGCCCGUAGCAGCCACAUAAAAUUUGCAACAACAAAGUAGAAGACGUCUAACUUGUUUUUGCAGGGCAUGUUGUGAUGUGAUAUGGUCAAGACGUGAUGCUAUAUUUUAUUGUAUGAGAUUAUCAUGUUUUGUAACCGAAGUUAUCGGCAACUGGCAGGAGCCAUAUGGUUGUCGCUUUAUUGUAUGAAAUGCAAACGCACUGUAAUUGCUUUACUUUAUCACUAAGCGGUAGCGAUAGUCGUAGAAGCAAUAGUUGGCGAGAUGACAACGAUGCUACGAUGGAGAUCAAGGUGUCGUGCCGGUGAAGAUGGUGAUCAUGAUGGUGCUUCGGAGAUGGAGAUCACAAGCACAAGAUGAUGAUGGCCAUAUCAUAUCACUUAUAUUGAUUGCAUGUGAUGUUUAUCUUUUAUGCAUCUUAUCUUGCUUUGAUUGACGGUAGCAUUAUAAGAUGAUCUCUCACUAAAAUUUCAAGAUAAAAGUGUUCUCCCUGAGUAUGCACCGUUGUCAAAGUUCAUCGUGCCCAGACACCACGUGAUGAUCGGGUGUGAUAAGCUCUACGUCCAUCUACAACGGGUGCAAGCCAGUUUUGCACACGCAGAAUACUCAGGUUAAACUUGACGAGCCUAGCAUAUGCAGAUAUGGCCUCGGAACACUGAGACCGAAAGGUCGAGCGUGAAUCAUAUAGUAGAUAUGAUCAACAUAAUGAUGUUUACCAUUGAAAGCUACUCCAUUUCACGUGAUGAUCGGUUAUGGUUUAGUUGAUUUGGAUCAUGUGAUCACUUAGAGGAUUAGAGGGAUGUCUUUCUAAGUGGGAGUUCUUAAGUAAUAUGAUUAAUUGAACUUUAAUUUAUCAUGAACUUAGUCCUGGUAGUAUUUUGCAAAUUAUGUUGUAGAUCAAUAGCUCACAUUUUUGCUUCCCUAUGUUUUUAUAUGUGUUCCUAGAGAAAACUAAGUUGAAAGAUGUUAGUAGCAAUGAUGCGGACUUGGUCCGUGAUCUGAGGUUUAUCCUCAUUGCUGCACAUAAGAAUUAUGUCCUUGAUGCACCGCUAGGUGACAAACCUAUUGCAGGAGCAGAUGCAGACGUUAUGAACGUUUGGCUAGCUCAAUAUGAUGACUACUUGAUAGUUUUGUGCACCAUGCUUUAUGGCUUAGAAUCGGGACUUAAAAGACGUUUUGAACGUCAUGGACCAUAUGAGAUGUUCCAGGAGUUGAAGUUAAUAUUUCAAGCAAAUACCUGAGUUGAGAGAUAUGAAGUCUCCAACAAGUUCUAUAGCUAAAAGAUGGAGGAGAAUCGCUCAACUAGUGAGCAUGUGCUCAGAUUGUCUGGGUACUACAAUCGCUUGAAUCAAGUGGGAGUUAAUCUUCCAGAUAAGAUAGUGAUUGACAGAAUUCUCUAGUCACCACCACCAAGUUAGUAGAACUUCGUGAUGAACUAUAAUAUGCAAGGGAUGAUGAAAACAAUUCCCAAGCUCUUCGCGAUGCAAAAAUCGGCGGAGGUAGAAAUCAAAGAAAAACAUCAAAGUGUUGAUGGUGGACAAGAUCACUAGUUUCAAGAAAAAAGGAAAAGGGAAGAAGGGGAACUUCAAGAAGAACAGCAAGCAAGUUGCUGCUCAAGUGAAGAAGCCCAAGUCUGGACCUAAGCCUAAGACUAAGUGAUUCUACUGCAAAGGGACUGGUCACUGGAAGUGGAACUACCCCAAGUAUUUGGCGGAUAAGAAGGAUGGCAAAGUGAACAUAGGUAUAUUUGAUAUACAUGUUAUUGAUGUGUACUUUACUAGUGUUUAUAGCAACCCCUUGGUAUUUGAUACUGGUUCAGUUGCUAAGAGUAGUAACUCGAAAUGGGAGUUGCGGAAUAAACAGAAACUAGUUGAGGGUGAGGUGACGAUGUGUGUUGGAAGUAGUUCCAAGAUUGAUAUGAUCAUCAUCGCACACUCCCUAUACUUUCGGGAUUAGUGUUGAACCUAAAUAAGUGUUAUUUGGUGUUUGCGUUGAGCAUGAAUGUGAUUUGAUCAUGUUUAUUGCAAUACGGUUAUUCAUGUAAGUUAGAGAAUAAUUGUUGUUCUGUUUACAUCAAUAAAACCUUCUAUGGUCAUACACCCAAUGAAAAUUGUUUUGUUGGAUCUCGAUCGUGUGAUACACAUAUUCAUAAUAUUGAAGCCAAAAGAUGUAAAGUUAAUAAUGAUAGUGCAACUUAUUUGUGGCACUGCCGUUUAGGUCAUAUUGGUGUAAAGCGCAUGAAGAAACUCCAUGCUGAUGGGCUUUUGGAAUCACUUGAUUAUGAAUCACUUGAUGCUUGCGAACCAUGGGAAAGAUGACUAAGACUCCGUUCUCUGGAACAACGGAGCGAGCAACAGAUUUGUUGGAAAUAAUACAUACUGAUGUAUGCGAUCCAAUGAGUGUUGAUGCUCGUGGCAAGUAUCGUUAUUUUCUUACCUUCAUAGAUGAUUUGAGCAGAUAUGGGUAUAUCUACUUAAUGAAACACAAGUCUGAAACAUUUGAAAAGUUCAAAGAAUUUCAGAGUGAAGUGGAGAAUCAUCGUAACAAGAAAAUAAAGUUUCUAUGAUCUGAUCGUGGAGGAGAAUAUUUGAGUUACGAGUUUGGCCUUCAUAUAAAACAAUGUGGAAUAGUUUCACAGCUCACACCACAUGGAACACCACAACGUAAUGGUGUGUCCGAACGUCAUAACCGCACUUUAUUGGAUAUGGUGCGAUCUAUGAUGUAUCUUACCAAUUUACCACUAUCGUUUUGGGGUUAUGCAUUAGAGAUAGUUGCAUUCAAUUUAAAUAGGGCACCAUCAAAAUCCGUUUGAGACGACGCCUUAUGAAUUGUGGUUUGGCAAGAAACCAAAGUUGUCGUUUCUUAAAGUUUGGGACUGUGAUGCUUAUGUGAAAAAGUUUCAACCUGAUAAUCUCGAACCCAAAUCGGAGAAGUGCGUCUUCAUAGAAUACCCAAAGGAAACUAUUGGGUACACCUUCUAUCACAGAUCCGAAAGCAAGAUAUUCGUUGCAAAGAUGGAUCCUUUCUAGAGAAGGAGUUUCUCUCGAAAGAAGUGAGUGGGAGAAAAGUAGAACUUGAUAAGGUAAUGGUACCUUCUCCUGAAUUGGAAAAUAGUUCAUCGCUGAAAUCAGUUCCAGUGAUUCCUACACCAAUUAGUGAGGAAGCUAAUGAUGAUGAUCAUGAAACUUCAGAUCAAGUUAUUACAGAACCUCGUAUGUCUUCCAGAGUAUGGACCGCACCAGAGUGGUACGGUAAUCCUGUUCUGGAAGUCAUGUUACUAGACCAUGAUGAACCUACGAACUAUGAGGAAGCGAUGAUGAGCCCAGAUUCUGUGAAAUGGCUGGAGGCCAUGAAAUCUGAGAUAGGAUCCAUGUAUGAGAACAAAGUGUGGACUUUGGUGGACUUGCCUGAUGAUCGGUAACCCAUAGAAAAUAAAUGGAUCUUCAAGAGGAAGACGGACGUUGAUAGUAGUGUUACUAUCUACAAAGCUCGAAUUGUCGCAAAAGGUUUUCGACAAGUUCAAGGUGUUGAAUACAAUGAGAUUUUCUCACUCGUAUUGAUGCUUAAAAGUCUGUCUGAAUCAUGUUAGCAAAUUGCCGCAUUUUAUGAAAUCUGGCAAAUGGAUAAAUAAAACUGCAUUCCUUAAUGGAUUUACUAAAGAAGAGUUGUAUAUGAUACAAGGUUUUGUCAAUCCUAAAGGUGCUAACAAAAUAUGCAAGCUCCAGCGAUCCAUCUAUGGACUGGUGCAAGCAUCUCGGAGUUGGAAUAUACGCUUUGAUAAGUUGAUCAAAGCAUAUAGUUUUAAUACAGACUUGCGGUGAAGCCUGUACUUACAAGAAAGUGAGUGGGAGCACUACAGCAUUUCUGAUAAGUAUAUGUGAAUGACAUAUUGUUGAUCGGAAAUAAUGUAGAAUUAUUCUGCAAAGCAUAAAGGAGUGUUUGAAAGGAGUUUUUCAAAGAAAGACCUCAGUGAAGCUGCUUACAUAUUGAGCAUCAAGAUCUAUAGAGAUAGAUUGAGACGCCUGAUAAGUUUUUCAAUGAAUACAUACCUUGACAAGAUUUUGAAGUAGUUCAAAAUGGAACAGUCAAAGAAAGAGUUCUUGCCUGUGUUACAAGGUGUGAAAUUGAGUAAGACUCAAAGCCCGACCACGGCAUAAGAUAGAAAGAGAAUGAAAGUCAUUCCCUAUGCCUCAGCCAUUUGUUCUAUAAAGUAUGCCAUGCUGUGUACCAGAUCUGUUGCAUACCCUACCACUAAGUAUUGGCAAGGGAGUGCAAUAGUAAUCUAGGAGUAGAUCAAUGGACAGCGGUCAAGAAUAUCCUUAGUAAGGACUAAGGAGAUGUUUCUCGAUUAUGGAGGUGACAAAAGAGUUCUUCGUAAAGAGUUACAUCGAUGCAAGCUUUUACACCGAUCCAGAUGACUCUAAGUCUCAAUCUGGAUACAUAUUAAAAGUGGGAGCAAUUAGCUAGAGUAGCUCCGUGCAGAACAUUGUAGACAUAGAAUAUUUGCAAAAUACAUACGACUCUGAAUGUGACAGACCCGUUGACUAAACUUCUCUCGUGAUCAAAACAUGAUCAUACCUUAGUACUCUUUGGGUGUUAAUCACAUAGCAAUGUGAACUAGAUUAUUGACUCUAGUAAACCCUUUGGGUGUUGUCACAUGACGAUGUGAACUAUGGGUGUUAAUCACAUACAAAUGUGAAUAUUGGUGAUGAAUCACAUGGUGAUGUGAACUAGAUUAUUGACUCUAGUGCAAGUGGGAGACUGAAGGAAAUAUGCCCUAGAGGAAAUAAUAAAGUUAUUAUUUAUUUCCUUAUAUCAUGAUAAAUGUUUAUUAUUCAUGCUAGAAUUGUAUUAACCGGAAACAUAAUACAUGUGUGAAUACAUAGACAAACAGAGUGUCACUAGUAUGCCUCUACUUGACUAGCUCAUUAAUCAAAGAUGGUUAUGUUUCCUAGCCAUGGACAAAGAGUUGUCAUUUGAUUAACGGGAUCACAUCAUUAGGAGAAUGAUCUGAUUGACUUGACCCAUUCCGCUAGCUUAGCACUUGAUCGUUUAGUAUGUUGUUGUUGCUUUCUUCAUGACUUAUACAUGUUCCUAUGACUAUGAGAUUAUGCAACUCCCGUUUAUCGGAGGAACACUUUGUGUGCUACCAAACGUCACAACAUAACUGGGUGAUUAUAAAGGUGCUCUACAGGUGUCUCCGAAGGUACUUGUUGGGUUGGCGUAUUUCGAGAUUAGGAUUUGUCACUCCGAUUGUCGGAGAGGUAUCUCUGGGCCCACUCGGUAAUGCACAUCACUUAAAGCCUUGCAAGCAUUGCAACUAAUGAGUUAGUUUUGGGAUGAUGUAUUAUGGAACGAGUAAAGAGACUUGCCGGUAACGAGAUUGAACUAGGUACUGAGAUACUAACGAUCGAAUCUCGGGCAAGUAACAUACCGAUGACAAAGGGAACAACGUAUGUUGUUAUGCGGUUUGACAGAUAAAGAUCAUCGUAGAAUAUGUGGGAGCCAAUAUGGGCAUACAGGUCCCACUAUUGGUUAUUGACCGGAAACGUGUCUCAGUCAUGUCUACAUAGUUCUCGAACCCGUAGGGUCCACACACUUAACGUUUUGUUGACGAUAUAGUAUUAUAUGAGUUAUGAAUGUCGGUGACCAAAUGUUGUUCGGAGUCCCGGAUGAGAUCAUGGACAUGACGAGGAACUCCGGAAUGGUCCGGAGAUAAAGUUUGAUAUAUGGGAUAAUAGUGUUUGAUCUCCGGAAGGGUUCCGGAAUUCACCGGAAGGGGUUCUGGAUGUUUCCCGAAAUGUUUGGGUACGAGAACACGUUAUUUGGGCCAAAGGGGAAAGCCCACGAGGCUUUUGGAAAGUGCAAAAGGAAGUUUUGCGGAGACCAGAGGCUAGACGCCAGGAACCCUGGCGUCUAGGGGGUAGACACCGGGAACCCUGGCGUCUAGCCCUGGAGUCCGUGUAGGACUCUUGCCUUUCGGGCAAAACCGACUUUGAGGAGGCCUUUACUCCAAGUUUCAACCCCAAGGCUCAACAUAUAAAUAGAGGGGCAGGGCUAGCACCAAAGACUAGGGCUGGAAAAAAAGCUCGAAGCUCGCGAGCUAAACAAGUAGCUCGUGACUCGGCUCAAAUCGACUCGAACUCGAAGAAUAAUAAGUCGAGCCGAGCUUUAGUUUAAGAUCGUUUAUAGACCAAGUUAAACGAGUCAAUCUUACGAGUACUCGUGUGACUCGUUAGGCUCGAUACAAUAGAUCAGCCACUCCCAAUACAAAGAAAGAUCAGCCACUAAACAGCCUACGUCCGAGUUGCACAACCCAUGGCCGAGCAGUUGAAGGCCUAGCCUCCUAGGAGACUCACGCGUUACAAGAAAAUUACAAUUGUAUAGUGAUAUAUAUGUUUAAUAUAUACAAAUCAUUUUUAUCAUAUUUGAGGACUUUAUUUUUAUAUCUUAAACGAGCUUAACAAGCUAAACGAGCCAGCUCGCGAGUUAUACGAGUCGAGCCAAUCUUGGGUUUGAGCUCGUUAUAGUAACGAGUCGAGUCGAGCUAGCUCGUUAACGAAACGAGCUCUAGCAAGUCGAGCCGAGCUGGCUCGACUCGGCUCGAAUUCCAGCCAUACCAAAGACACAUCAAGAAACACCAAGCCGUGUGCCGGCAACCCCAUCCCCUCUAGUUUAUCCUCCGUCAUAGUUUCCGUAGUGCUUAGGCGAAGCCCUGCGGAGAUUGUUCUUCACCAACACCGUCACCACGCCGUCGUGCUGCCGGAACUCAUCUACUACUUCGCCCGUCUUGCUGGAUCGAGAAGGCGAGGACGUCAUCGAGCUGAACGUGUGCAGAACUCGGAGGUUCCGUGCGUUCGGUACUUGGAUCGAUCGGAUCGUGAAGACGUACGACUACAUCAACCACGUUGAUAAACGCUUCCGCUUAGAGAUCUUCAAGGGUAUGAAGAUACACUCCCCCUCUCGUUGCUAUGCAUCACCAUGAUCUUGCGUGCGCGUAGGAAAUUUUUUGAAAUUACUACGUUCCCCAACAUCCUACUGGAUUGAUACCUUGGUUCUCAAAAACUUAGGGAAAUACUUACGCUACACUUGCUGCAUCACCCUCUCCUCUUCGGGGGAAACCAACGCAAGCUCAAGACGUAGCAGCGCCUGGGCGCAUCCGCAUGCAUUGAUCGGGCACCCCUCAAAUGUUGCACCACACAUUCACAUAUGUCACGCCCAAUAUGCGACCCUAUCCUAAAGGAACUCGAAGGUCCCACCAAGGAUAGAAGCGCAUAUUGGAGACGCUUUUGCAAGGUGGAUAUCAUUACAUCGUACCAUUACAUAAUAGUUGGGGAUACAUACAAGAGGCAUACAAUGUCACACGAAUACAACAUCAUCAUACAUAAGAGCAACAUCCGACUAUGGAUGAAACACAAACAUAAACUCAAACGACAUCCACUCUGCUAGCUCAGGCUGCCGACCUGGAACGUAUCCCCUGAUUUAAGAAGAAGCAGAAGAAGAAGUCCAAAACAAGUAAACAUCGCUCUCGCAUCAUGAUCAUCGCAUUACCUGUACCUACAACUGUUGUUUUAGUAAUCUGUGAGCCACGAGGACUCAGCAAUCCCAUUACCAUGGGUAUCAAGACUAGCAAAGCUUAAUGGGUAUGGAAAGGAUAAGUGAUGAGGUUGCAGCAGCGACUAAGCAUAUAUGGUGGCUAGCAUACGCAAAUAAGAGCGAGAAGAGAAGCAACGCAACGGUCGAGAAGCUAGAAGUGAUCAAGAAGUGAUCCUGAAACUACUCACGUUCAUACAUAACACAAAUCGUGUUCACUUCUCGACCCACUUGAAAAGAGACCAUCACGGUUAGACACAUGGUUGGGUAUUUUAAAUCGAAUCUGGUGUCAAGUUCUCUAAAACCGGAUAUUAAAAACUCCUAUCUGCCACAUAACCACAGGCACGGCUUUCGAAAGUUUAUACCCUGCAGGGGUGUCCCAACUUAGCCCAUCAUAAGCUCUCAUGACCAACAAAAGAUAUUCCUUCUCCCGGGAAGACCCGAUCAGUCUCGGAAUCUCGGUUACAAGACAUUUCGACAAUGGUAAAACAAGACCAGCAAGACCGCCCGAAUGUGCCAACAAAUCCUGAUAGGAGCUGCACAUAUCUCGUUCUCAGGGCACACUAGAUGAGUCAAGCUACGAGUAAAACCAGCCCUCAAGUUUCCCCGAGGUGGCCCCGCAGGCUUCUCAGUUCGGACCAACACUUAGAGAAGCACUGGCCCAGGGGGGUUUAAAAUAAAGAUGACCCUCAGGUUAAUUACUCACAAGGGAAAGGUAAUAGGUUGUUAGGCAAAUGCAAACCCAAAGUUGGGCCUUGCUGGAGGAGUUUUAUUCAAAGCGAACUAUCAAGGGGUUCCCAUACACCCGACCGCGUAAGGAACACAAAAUCAAGGAACAUAACACCGGUAUGACGGAAACUAGGGUGACAAGAGUGGAACAAAACACCAGGCAUAAGGCCGAGCCUUCCACCCUUUACCGAGUAUAUAGAUGCAUUAAUUAAAGAUAAGAGAUAUUAUGAUAUCCCAACAUAAUCCUGUCCAACAUGGAGCAAUCUUCAACUUCACCUGCAACUAACAACGCUAUAAGAGGGGCUGAGCAAAGCGGUAACAUAGCCAAGCAGCGGUUUGCUAGGAAGGGUGAAAAGGUUAGAGUCUGACAUGACAGUUUGGAGGCUUGAUAAACAAGUGAUAGGUAGCGCAACAUAGCGAUAGAACGAAGCAACUAGCAUAGCAAUGAUAGUAGUGAGAUCCAGGGUAACAGUCAUCUUGCCUGAAAUCCCGCAAGGAAGAAGAACGAGUCCAUGAAGAAGACGAACCAAGCGUAGACGAACGAAUCCUCACGAUCGCAACGAAACAGGAACUAUCGAGAAGAAGCACAACCGGAAAGAAGCAAACAACAUGGUAAACACACAACAUAUAAACAUGGCAUGAUGCACAACCAAGCAUGAUGCAUGACAAAGGCUAUAUGAUGCUACUCAUGGCAAGAGAUGAUGCAUACAAGAACAACACAUCAAAGCAAGUUUAAAUGAGGCCGGAAACCACAUAUAAGCAAUCCGGUAAGUCCCCAUAUGCAAAUUUCAAAAUUGGUCCAGAACUGAAUAAACUUUAUGUUCAAGUUGUUAAACCUCAUGUUAAGAUGCACCAAUAUGAUCUACACGAAAUUCUAGUCAAGUUACAUAUAAAGUUCAUUUAGUUUGGAGCUACGGCCUAGAAGAUAUGAGCAAAAUAGGUUAAACAUGACAUUGGUGCAAAAUGCAUUCAAACAUCAAGCAAACACUCUACAAAAAUGGAUGCAACAUGAUAAUAUGAAACUACAUGCAAAAUCAAGCAAGUUUCAUAUAGAGCAUGCUCAAAACGGAGCAACGGUGCAACACUUACACUCCAAGCAAGAUAUAACAAUAAUUUGCCCAAAACAACAACUAGGCACUUUGCAAUCAUCAAAACAACAUGCUACAGGAAUCAUAUGACCACAAACUUGACAUGCACUUCAUGUACAGAUAAUAUACUUCAAAUACCAUUAAGGUUCAGGUUCAUAGGCAUCAAGAUUAAACUAAUAUGAUCAAUGCAAAAUGCAAAUUUAUAACACAGGAGCAUAUGCAUGAGCAGAGUUAAUAUGAUGGCAACUUGAGAGCAAUAAAGAGACAAUCUACAGUAAGUAUACAUAGCAACCAAGGGCAUGGCAUCCAAGUACACAUAACAAAGAGAAAAUAACAUCAUGUCAUUAUAUACAUAUGGCUCAUGGAUUAGUAGGAACCAACAUGACAAGAUUGAAUGUUAAAACAGUUUCAGGAAGUGUAAAACAGCAACAUUAUGAUAGCAUGUUUGCAAGCAUGGAACAGAGGCAUAUGACAUCCAAAAUUAGCAAAUGUGGCAUGUGAACAGAUUAAUCAUAGCAUACUACAAAGCAUGUAAUUGGAGCAUCUCCAUAAUAGGCAUGUAUCAACUAAUAUCAAGCUCACAACAAGGCAUUAUGAAGUUAACAGAAAUCUGGAACAACAAAUAGGCAUGUUCAUGGCAAUGAAAACAUGUGCUACAGGAAAUAUAUAGGGCAUCAAAAUGCAUGUCAUGAUAGAGCAUAACAUAGACAACAAUACAUGUCAAAUAAGCCUCUCCAGAAUAUGCAUAGAUUAACUGGUAGCAUCAAGCAAAGAUAGCAUUAUGAUAUGACAGAAACAGACUUGACAGAAAGUUAACAGCAAGUAGCUCACUUCACAAGCUUGAUUCACUCACUACAGGGCAUAUAAAAAUACAUGGAUUACACCCCCUGUAAAGACGGCAUAAAUAUGCUCCUAAAACAUGUAGAUAUCAUCCUCAUAGGAUGCACACACAAAAUGCAACAAAAAAGACAAAUCAGCAAGUUACAGCAGUUAACAGCAACAUGCACUUUGGCAACAGGGAUUAAGAUAUCAAGAUGCACCCUAAUGUGAAUUCAAAGCACACCAACAUGUAGAGCAUGAGAAGAAGAACACGUGCAUAUCAAGAUCAUCAUCGUAGCAUCAACAGGGACAAAGUUGUGGCACUCACAAGAUGCACAAAUGAUGUUAACAAGCAACAGUUUCAGCAGGUUAUAUCAUAUAGCAGUUUUGCAAUGAAGAUUAAGGCAUCAAUAUGAACAGGAAAAUGAAUGCAAACUAGACCAUCAUCUAGAGCACUCUGAUAUGAACAUUUUGACAUAUCAUACACGCAAAAUAGAGCAGUACACACCAAGUUAGAGCAAGUCAAACAUGCAUACAUGAUGAUAAAAAUGUUGGGACUUAGUGGAAAAUAUACCCUUCGAAAAAUUGGACGGGGUCGACCCGGGACGGAGGGAUCCAGGUGCGGGGGAGGCGUUUGGUUGAUGGAGGCGGUGGAACUCGUCCACCUUCCGGUGGAUCCGGCGAGCUCCUGCCGGCGCGGGACAGCGGCGGGGAGGCGGAUUCGGGCGGCGGGGAGGCGGAUCCGGCCGGUGGCGGCCGAAGGCGGCGGGGCAAGGCGGAGCCGAGGCAGGGCGGCGACGCNNNNNNNNNNNNNNNNNNNNNNNNNNNNNNNNNNNNNNNNNNNNNNNNNNNNNNNNNNNNNNNNNNNNNNNNNNNNNNNNNNNNNNNNNNNNNNNNNNNNNNNNNNNNNNNNNNNNNNNNNNNNNNNNNNNNNNNNNNNNNNNNNNNNNNNNNNNNNNNNNNNNNNNNNNNNNNNNNNNNNNNNNNNNNNNNNNNNNNNNNNNNNNNNNNNNNNNNNNNNNNNNNNNNNNNNNNNNNNNNNNNNNNNNNNNNNNNNNNNNNNNNNNNNNNNNNNNNNNNNNNNNNNNNNNNNNNNNNNNNNNNNNNNNNNNNNNNNNNNNNNNNNNNNNNNNNNNNNNNNNNNNNNNNNNNNNNNNNNNNNNNNNNNNNNNNNNNNNNNNAGGAGCCGGGGCGCGAGCGCCUGGGCCCAGAUCGGCCCGGGGGCGGGCCUGCGUCGGGUGAGCCGGAUCGGGGCCACGUGGCUCUCCCCCGUUGGCUGGGGCGGUGGCGGUGGACGCGUCCGGCGCCGUCCGGACGUGUCCGGCACGCGGAGGAAUGAGGCUAUGGUUUCAUUCGCGAAUUUGGAAGGGGGAGGCAUAUUUAUAGGUAGAGGGAGCUAGGAGAGUCCAAAUAAGGUGUGGUUUUCGCCCACAUGAUCGUGAUCCAACAACGGAGAGCAUGGAUGGGAGUUAGAUGGGUUAGUGGGCUGUUUGGAGGGGUGUUGGGCUGCAAAGAGAGAGGGGUUUUGGUUAACUCGGUUAACCGUUGGGGCAUCAAACGACCUUCAAAUGGAACGAAAUUUGACGGACGGUCUACCGGUGAUAUACCAAGGCCACUCGGCAAAUAUUGGCCCAUUCCGAGAAUGUUUUUCUCCCGCUCACAAAACAAGAUAAGAGGGGUGCCGUGGGUGCAUGUGGGAGUGUCGGAUGGCGAAACGGACAACGGAGAAAAAGAGAGAGGAUGCAAGUUUUAAAAAACAAGCAAAUGAUGACAUGGCAAAAUGCAACACGCAAGCAAAAGACAUGGCAAUGACGGCGAAUAACUGGAAGACACCUGGCGCAUCAGAUUUGGGGCGUUACAACAUACCAUAAAUUUUGAUUCUCAAAUCCAUGCAAUCCAUGCACAUCGAUCAUAUGAUACAAAUUGUCUAAAUGCCAACGUUCGAAACAAAGCAAAACAAAUCAUAGUUCAACAAACCGGGCAUGGCAAAAUGAAAUCAACGUCCGAGCGUGACGGAUGGCCUCGCAUCACUGGUUGGGCGCCUGCUCCGAGCGGAAGGCGUCCUGCUCGUCCUGCUCUGCCUGCAUCCGAGCAGCCUCCUCCGCCUACAGCCGGGCUGCCUGCUCCGCCUGCGGGGAUCCAGGAGCAGCGGAGGAGACAACUGCUCCACCAUGUCCGAACCUCCCUGCGACGCCGCCGCCGCCUCCCUCUCUCGCUACCGCGUCGUCGCAACUUGCGGGUGAUGUUCUCCGCCUUGCAAGUCGCAGUCGACGAAUUGACGCCGCCGACGGACAAGGCGGACUGCGUCUCCGUCGCGGCGGUGUGGGUCGGGCUGGACGACAUCUCCGGCAGUGGAUAGGGACCGGAGGUGAGGAUUGAGAGUAAGGGUGGAGAACAAUGAGGGUCCGGGUGCGGGAAAGGUUGGAGAGCGGCGGGAGGAGGAGGAAGGAUUUGGUGGAUUUGAUGCAAUUUGGGGUGGGGUCGGGUUGUUGGGUCCGACGUGACGGGCGUGCCCGGGCGCCCCCAUAUCCACCCCAUAUUUGGGCUGGAUAUGGGGGGUGUCAGUCAGCCCAGGGGCGUUUGAGGCCAGUUUAAGGAGCCCGUCUGGUCAAGAAAUCAUGACCGGACAGUGACCAGGCGGCCCGCCCAGGCGUAUGAGGCGGGUUUAAGAGGAUCUGGUUGUAGAUGCUCUUAGGCCUUAUAGUUUUAUGUCUCAUUUCUAUACAAGAUGCUUAGGGCCAGUUUUUUUGGGCGGCUUAAAAAAUAAGUUGUCUCUCCCUAGCUUAAAAAAAUAAGUCACGGCCAAAAUUUAUUGAGUCUUCUGUAUUAGUUAUCCCAUAACUAGUCCAGAAGCCCCAAUGAAUAAGGAAGACGGCUUAUAGAAAAAUCUAGAAAAGAGACGGCUUAUUUUUUUAAGCCAUCAAAAGAACUGGCCUUUAGAGAGUGUUUACAUGAUCAAUUUUAUUUAAUCAUCGGUGUUUAUUUAUAGAUGAUAGAUGCUUAACUAGAUACCCCUUCCAUAAAGAUAAGGAAUUGUGCAUAAGAUGAUAAACGUUUAACUAGAUACAUCUCCCAUGGAGAUAAAGACAAGAGCUUAAGAAAAAUUGAUUUUUUUUACUAAGCAUCUCUCUAACCACGUCCGAGGAUGUGCUUUUCUUUGUAGAUUAGAUGAUUGCCUGUGCGUUGUCACGGGAGUUAAAAAAAAAUCAAGUUUCAAAGAUUUUUACUUGUUUAAACUGCAUAUCACACAGUUUCCGGUUUGCUAUAUGUACAAAAUAUGUAUAGCAUGACCAUUCAAGCACAUGUUGUGGUUCUUCUGUCUCCCUCUCCUUUACUAUCAACGCUUUCCUAUUACUCCACUCCACUCGGCAGUAGUCCAUUUGUUUUUUACAUACAUUGCUAGUGUACUUUGAGAAACACACCAAAGCAGGAGAAGACAUAAUAUAAUUGUGUUGUUACAGUCCCUUUCGUUCAUUGUGACUAUCCUUGCCGAAGAAGAUCACGACUUUGUCAUUGGCUUCAUCGACUACAACGGAGAUUCCAAGGAUCCUCACCUUAGAUGUGAUGGUUUUAGCAGAUUUCUACCUUAACCAUGAUAACUCCUCAGAGUUUCACCAGACCAUAAAGCAAGCAGUUUUCUACAUGCUUUGCCGGAUGAUUUUAGAAUUAGUUUUUUUUUACAUGUUAGUGUUAUUUGGAACAGCUUUACAGAUUGUUAUCAUGCAUAAAUAGGUAGUUGUAGUACUGUAGUUAGUAAAUACCGAUUCAAAGAGCUUCACAACUCUGCUAUUUAUAGAUGUUUAAGGUAAAAAUAGACAAUGAUGUUUCAUAUAAAAAUAAAUAUCACGCAAUCAUCUAUCCUAAAGGAUUGCUAAUAAAGAAAUAGCUAGCACAAACUGAUAAUUAUAAACGUUAGUGCACAAUAUAUCCUGGAUAUCAUUUCUUUGUCAUCCUAUGUCUGCACAAAAAUAGAAUAAGGAUAACAUUAUUAUAGAGCUUAGAGAUCAAUAAAUAGUAUGAUCUGAAUUUACAAAAAAACUGUGUAGUCAAAUAUGUUUGCUUACUCAAGAGAGUCUUUGGGUAUUCAACGGUCAACAAAUACGACAAUUCUUGGAUGAAGUUGCAUUGCUAUCCAUCUGAUUGGAGGAGGCUAUAUGAGAUGAUGGUCGGAAACUUGGAAGUGCGUUCCGGACACAUUCUGGAACAAAACUGCAAUAUUAUCUUAUCUUAUCUUAUCUUACUACCUAAAAGAAACGUAGUGUUCCGUUUCCCCUCUUACGUUGCCCUUCGUCGUCCAUCUCCUCCUCGCUUCCACGAUGGCCCACUCUCCGGUUUUUCUCCUCCUUCCUUAAGUACUCUUCCCACCUCGUUCACCUUCCUAAGAAAACGGAUUGCUCCACCAUCUAUGAUCAAAACAAAUCAGGACGCAUCGCCCUCUGCCUCGGAUCCGAUUUGAGUCCCUCGCCCGCUCGUCGACCAGGAAACAGGAGGCAUGGCAACUUGCUCCCUCGCCGGCUCGCCCCGGUUGGACGAUCAUAGUCACUCCGCGCCCGUCAACCCUCUCCGGCGACGUAGACCCAGAGGUGGAGGUCUCCCAUGAACAUCGCCAUCAUGUUGGUCUGAUACGUGCAUCAACCUCAUUAUUCACCACUCCAAAUUAGGGUGUCAAAGUCUGCUGUCUCUGCCAUUGAAGGUGCGUUCAGGAUCUAUGCUGGUUGCGGUCUCUCGUGAGGGCCAAAGGCUGAUCUCUAGCAAGGUAAGUGCUCUUAUUAUACUCAUGGAUCAUGCCCAUCCGGCGAUGCAAAUGGAGACACGGGUGGGCUGUUUAGUCGUCGGCCGCCGCUGCACCUACACAGCAUUAUGCACCGUCCUUGCUAUGCCCCCCAGGUGGGAUGCAUAGCUAUCGGCUGCGACGCCAUACCAACUCAUCGGCAGUAGUGCAAUUUCCUGUUUUCUUCAGUCAAUGCAUGUGCUGUCUGUGAUUCGCGUACUAUUAGACAGUUCUUUUCUUAUGCAUCAAUUAACACUCAAUCAUUCCACUAAAAUGAUUAGGCUGAAGAUACCCUGUAUUCCAAGUUCUAAAAAAAGACGAAGGUUGCACAAAUAUUCAGUCACCUGAAGGUCUCUUCGCUAGCACAAAUAUUAAGUGACCUUGUAUGCAUUAAGUUUCUGUGCACUCUACAAAAGCCUGCUAUUUUUUAUCUCUAACUUUGUUUGUAUGUUGCCCUAUUUAUUCUUCGGUCUAUUGCCUGAGAGUUUACAGAACAUGAUUCUUCUGAGAAUUAUAUUUCAAGCUUGUACUACCUCUGAAGCAUUGUAUGUUCUGCUUGAUUUUGGGAAUUAUAUUGCCUCAGAAUUCUGCUUGAGAGUUCUGCUUGACUUUAGGUUCCCAAAAAGAAACUCUGAUUGUAUGUUCAUGUCACUUCUAUGCAUACAAUAAUUAUCAAUAGAUUAAUCCCUUCCUUCAGCAUGUUAGCACUUGCAAGUUGGCUGAUUAAAUUAUUAUAUUAAUACACUACAUAGGCAAUGAUGCCUGCGCCUUUCUCGCCCACCUCUUCUCUCCAAACAUAUUUCUCCAUUGGUUAGUGACACCAAAUGAACGGAACCUGAAUAAUUUGUACAUGCUAGCUAGAACACAACAUAUUUCUUUGGAAAUGGUGGAGAGUAGAGAUGCAUAGUCAAAAGAAGCUUUGCAAGUUGUUUGUGACAUUAACUUCGUGGAAAUCGCUGCACUUCACUUCUUUAGUUAUAUUUGCUAGGGUUGGCUUUCAAAUAUUUUGGUUGUUUUCAUUUCAUUAAAUUCCAUAUUUUCUACUGGCAAGCAUAGUCAUGAAAAUUUGCAGCAGAUAGGCAUAGGGGAAAGAGCAACAUUGCCAAGCAAGUCUUGCACUCAAGAACCAUGAGAUUUUGCAGAUAGAAAAAUUAUUUAUUGGAUGGACUUUUAAUGUUGCAUGGACUGAGCACAAACUGUUUUUUUUCUUGCAUUCGUGUAGAUACUGCAACACAAACUGAGUUUUCCUCGUGUGCUCUCCCUCGCGAGCGCCCGCUGUCGACUACUCGCAUGCCUCCCAUCGCAAUCGUUGACUCCCCUUCUCCCACCCUCUCUUGCGCAUGCCGCAGAGAUCUGAGCAGAUCUGCUACAGUCGUUGUUCCUUCAGGAUGUUUGGGGUUUAGAGGGAUGGUCGGGGCGGUGACUGGCGGGCUGGUGCGGCAAGGCCGCACGUGGUGGCUGCGGCCGAUUAGGUAGGUGAUUAUGGUAGGGUCAAUGGGAUGGAAUAAGAAGAAGGUAACAUUGGGAAGGGGAGUCUCAAAAAAUCUCUGUAAAAUCUCCAUCUCUAUCUAUACUCUUGACUGAUUCACACAAAAAAAUCUCUACUCUUUGUUUUUUAUUAUUAUUACUUAUUCUAUAUAUACUGUUUUAAAAUGUGUAAGGUUUCAUGUUUCACUUCUUACCAUGACCCGUUUAUCCAACCUUCCUUGAAACAUAAUCAAUCACUAUUUAGCUUUCUUUCGAAUCAAUUUCACUUUAAUUUACUGACCAAACUUCUCAUGAAAAAUAAGGUAUAUCACGAGUAGGAUUUGAUAAACAUUUAUUGACUCAUUUGCAUUAAUACGGGAAAGUCAAUCACAAGAUAGCAUACUGAAAUUUAUAUCCCGUUGCAACGCACGGGCAUGGUCCUAGUGUUAUAUAUACAUAGUACUAAUAAUUGUUCAGCAUUGUAUGCCCGUGAUCGCAGAACAGAUGGUUUCCUAAGGAAAACCUGGACAAGGUACAUAGAUCAGACUGUGUCUAUAAAAUAUGAUGUUCCUGGUACACUGCAUCAACUUGUUAUAAAAAAUGACAUUUUGAAAUCCGCGGGAGAGGAUGAGGCACAUGCAUACCUUGCUGCGUUGCCGGUGCGCAAGCAAUUGUAAGCGUAGUUCACAUCCAUCCAGUACUAUUGGUUCCCGAUCUAGAGGGCACUGGCCUGCAACCAACGGACACCUGCACCGCGGCCGUAGUAGUAUGUGGCCUGAGAAACGACAGCAGCUGGCCAGUCAUCUGCAGAGGGCGUGGCGCUCGCUGCUGCGGCGAUGGAUGGGGCCCCAAAGCAGCGGUGUGGGACGAUGGUGAGAAGAGGAGGAGGGGAGAUGGGAAGAGGGGGAUCGUGAUCUGGAUGGAAAGAGAGGAGAAAUUGGCUGGCUUUUUCAUCUGUAUGGGUAGAUGGGAUGGAAGUAGGGAGGACGUCCCAAGAGAUUUUGCCAGCUGCUUUUCCCCAUCAUUUUAGGAAGGGGAGCAGGAAAUUUCUGCGGCAAUAAUGGUGAUUUCUCGCUGUGCUGGUGCGCGAGCGAUGCAGAUAAGGAAAGUUGAUUACUGCCCGUGAUUUCCCUGAAUUAAUUGCGUAUCCAUUACCAAAUAAGAUAUUGAUUGCCAAAUUAUUCCCAAAGAUUGAUCAGGAAGAGCCUGGGAGGAAAGAAAAUCGCUGGAGAGGUGCGAGGGGAUGGACGAAGGGGUGGACGUAAGAGGGGAGAGGGAGCACUACGUUUUUUUAAAGUAGUAGAGAAUCUACUACAAAAUUAUCUACGUUUCCAAAAGUGGAGACGGGUAAUGAGUAAGCCCUGUCCCUGUUAUCCAUGACAAGUUUCCAGUUCCCAUCUUAACGGGUGUAUUUGUUCCCAACUUCCCGUGACAUGUUGGCCCAAAUGUAGGCACCACCAUAAUUCGCCGUUUUUCCGGUUUUCUGAUGCUGUUGCCCACCAAAUGGAGCAAGCCCAUGGCGCGCUGCCUGCUCCUCCGCCGCCACCUCACGGCCGCGGUCGCCACCGCCGCAGCCACGGCGCCGCUCCCCGCGAGGAGCGCCCACCGGGUGUUCGACAGGAGCGCGCACACCGAUCGUAUCCAGGAGCUCGCGCGGCUCGGCCGCCUGCGGGAGGCCCGGGAGGUGUUCGACGCCAUGCCACACCGCAGCAUCUUCGCCUGGAACACCAUGAUCUCCGCCUACUGCAACAGUGGGAUGCUCGAGGACGCGAGGUCCCUCGUCGACGCCAUCUCCGGAGGGAACGUGCGCACGAGCACCAUCCUGCUGUCGGGGUACGCCCGCCUCGGCCGCGUGCUCGACGCCCGCAGGGUGUUCGACGGAAUGCUCGAGCGGAACACCAUCGCGUGGAACGCCAUGGUCAGCUGCUAUGUCCGCAACGGGGACGUCACUAUGGCGCGCAGGCUGUUCGACGCGAUGCCGAGCAAGGACGUCACGUCGUGGAACUCGAUGCUCACCGGGUACUGCCACAGCCGGCAGAUGGUGGAUGCAUGGCAUCUGUUUGAGCAAAUGCCAGAGCGCAACUUGGUUUCUUGGACAGUGGUGAUCUCUGGGUAUGCUAGAAUCGAGCAGCAUCGCAAGGCUUGGGACAUCUUUUGCAUGAUGCACCGUGAAGGCGUGUCACCAGACCAGUCAAACUUCGCAUCUGUGCUUUUAGCUGUGACGGGUCUUCGGGAUCUUUGUGUUCUAGAGGGCCUACGCCCUUUAGCCCUUAAGACAGGAUUUGAGAGUGAUGUGGUCAUUGGGACAUCAAUGCUAAAUGCAUAUACUAGGGAUGCAAGUGCGCUUGACACUGCAAUGAAAUUCUUCGAGGGUAUGCCAGAGAGGAAUGAGUACACAUGGUCAACUAUGAUCUCUGCACUAUCUCAUGGUGGUCGAAUCGAUGCUGCUACUGCCGUCUAUGAAAGAGACCCUGUAAAGUCCAUUCCAUGCCAGACUGCACUGCUCACAGGCUUAGCUCGAUGUGGCAGGAUUACUGAUGCAAGGAUUUUAUUUGAUCAGAUUCCUGAUCCUAUUGUUGUGUCCUGGAACGCCAUGAUUACUGGGUAUAUGCAGAAUGGAAUGGUUGAUGAGGCAAAGGAGCUGUUCGAUAGGAUGCCUUUCAGGAACACAAUAUCCUGGGCUGGAAUGAUUGCGGGGUAUGCACAGAAUGGAAGGAGUCAAGAAGCUUUGGAUUUACUCCAAGCACAGCAUAGGAACGGGAUGUUACCUAGCCUAUCUAGUUUGACCAGUAGCUUCUUUGCUUGUUCAAAUAUUGGAGCUCUUGAGACAGGAAAACAAGUGCAUUCACUUGCGGUCAAGGCUGGUUGCCAGUUCAAUAGCUAUGUAGGUAAUGCUCUCAUUACUAUGUAUGGCAAGUGCGGAAACAUGGAGUAUGUGAGACAGGUCUUCAGUCGAAUGCGAGUGAAAGACACUGUGUCAUGGAACUCAUUUAUUUCGGCACUUGUGCACAAUAAUAUGCUGGAGGAUGCAAGACAUAUAUUUGACAAUAUGCUCAGUCGGGAUGUUGUCUCUUGGACUACGAUAAUAUCUGCAUAUGCACAGGCUGACCGGGGGACUGAGGCAGUGGAGUUUUUCAAAAUAAUGUUACACAAGCAUGAAGUACCAAAUUCCCCGAUAUUAACUAUACUUCUCAGCAUUUGUGGAAGUCUUGGUGCUCCUAAGCUUGGGCAGCAAAUCCACACAGUAGCCAUCAAACACGGAAGGGAUUCAGAACUUAUAGUCGCUAAUGCUCUCAUGUCAAUGUAUUUCAAGUGUGGUUCUGCAGAUUCUCAUAAGGUUUUUGAUUCAAUGGAGGAACGGGACAUAUUUACAUGGAAUUCCUUCAUUACAGGUUGUGCACAACAUGGCCUUGGAAGAGAGGCCAUCAAGAUGUAUAAACAUAUGAGAUCUGCAGGGGUGUUGCCAAAUGAGGUCACUUUUGUGGGGCUUUUAAAUGCAUGCAGCCAUGCUGGUUUGGUAGAUGAAGGUUGGCAAUUUUUCAAGUCAAUGAGCAGGGAUUAUGGACUGACUCCUCUGCUGGAACACUAUGCAUGCAUGGUGGAUCUACUUGGGCGAACUGGUAAUGUGGAAGGAGCUGAACAAUUUAUAUAUGAUAUGCCUAUUGAGCCAGAUGCAGUGAUUUGGAGUGCUCUUCUUGGGGCAUGCAAGAUUCACAAGAAUGCGGAAAUCGGUAGAAGGGCUGCUGAAAGACUCUUUGCUAUUGAGCCAUCAAAUUCUGGCAACUAUGUCAUGUUAUCAAAUAUAUAUUCUUCUCUAGGGAUGUGGGUAGAAGUUGCGGAGGUACGGAGAAUUAUGAAACAACAAGGUGUCACAAAAGAGCCUGGCUGUAGCUGGAUGCAGAGUAGGAACAAAGUGUACUCAUUUGUCACUGGAGAUAAACAGCAUGAGCAAAUUGAAGAGAUAGAAUCUACCCUCCAGGAUUUGUACACUUCAUUAAGGACUGCAGGCUAUGUGCCUGACACUGAAUUUGUUCUCCAUGACAUCGAUGAAGAGCAGAAGGAGAGUUCCCUUCUGUAUCACAGUGAGAAGCUUGCUGUUGCUUAUGGCCUUCUUGUUACACCCCAGGGCAUGCCUAUACAGAUAAUGAAGAACCUUAGGAUAUGUGGUGACUGUCACACUUUCUUCAAGUUUGUGUCACAAGUCACCAAGAGAGAUAUUGACAUUAGGGAUGGAAAUCGGUUUCAUCAUUUUAGGAAUGGAAGUUGUUCAUGUGGUGACUUCUGGUGAUACCCUGUUUUGACUUCUUUUUUUCUGUAAGCCCCAAAGUAGAUACAUUCUGAUGAUUCCAGAUGAGAUGUUGGGUUGCCAUUCAGAAGAUUUUGUUAGAGUUAUAACACACAAAGCAGAGAAGAGUAUACUGACUGACUACAGUAUGUUGCUAUGCUGUGGCCUACAACGAGUUCGUGGAUGCAAUAUUGAGAUAGUCAACAGCCUGUUAAACCCUAGAAGCGCCUGGAUUGGAAUCUGGUAAGUGCUUAAAAUAUAUGCUUAUCCAGUUUGCUUUUCGCUGCAUGUCAAUUAUCAAUCUAUUCAACAGCAAACCUUGUGACCAUUUUGCAUGGUAGCUUAACAAGAGGAAACAAAGGGAAGCUGGAUAGGUGCAGCUGAAAGACUUAAACAACACCUCAUUGCUCGUGCAAGAGCGCGAUGCUGCAUGACAGAUAAACUAUCAAUGUAUAUCAACUGUAUGCAGGCAAGUUGACACUGUUGAUGAAAAGAGACAUUUCCUAUGUCGCCUAAUUCCUGUUCUCUUACCAUGCGUGUUCAGUGUAACGGCCUAGUCUUAGUGUUGUAUAGGAUUCUUUUCUAUCAAUGCAAUGAAACGCAAAGCUUUUGUGUGUUCUCGGGAGGGAAUCCUAUGGCUCGACAAGAGAAGAAAUUGAUACUGAAUUCAUACCUCUUCCUAGGUUGACGCUUGGACAGACAUGCUCUCUACCAAAUGAAACCAUCAGGGCUGUCAAAAGUGUUCUGGGUUGACAAACUAUUGUAGCUUGUCUCGAGCCCAGUUGAGCUGAGAUCGAGCUUGUCUAAAUUAGGCUCGAAUCCGUACUUGUAUAUAAUAUAACAUAUGUAUGUAUUCCAUUUCAAGCCUUACCAGGUGGAACUCGAGCAUAUUGUAAUCUUGGCCUGAGCCCAGUUGAGCUGAGAUCGAGCUUGUGUAGAUUAGGCUCAAAUUCAUACUUGUGUAAUAUACCACAUUAAUGUGCCAGGCCAAGCUCGACCAUAUAUUAUACUCAUAUAUGUGUAUUUACAGAAUAAUUCGGCCUUAGGAGUAGGAGUUGAGGCUGAGCAUGAUCGAGCCUAUAGUAUAGUCAUAUAUGUGUAUUUGUAGAGUUACCGAUCCUUAUCAAAUCAAGCUAGAGUCAAUUCGAGCUUUGAUGAGUUCGACUCUGCUCUAGCUAGUUGGCAGCCCUGGUAUAUGAUAGGCUAGCAACAUCACCAUGAUGUCUGUUUCUCUCAGCAACAUGUAUAUUGUUUAAACAAUGAUGUGGCAUUAAAGAUUUUAAUUGUCUGAAUUGCUUGUACUCAAUUUGAUGUGCUAAUCACCGUUGUCCUUUUUGGUUGUGGCAGGGAACUAUGGCUGAAUGACAGUGAUGUUAUGUGUCAUCUAUCAUGGGUGCUCAUUCUGUUUAUGUCGAAAGGCCUUUAUAUUCUUGUAAACUGAGAGUUUGCAGACCCUACACAUGAUCUGGCUCUGAAGAUAACUUAGACAAGAUUAUCGGUGGAAGCUAACUUUCUGUCUUAUUCACAAGGCUCGCUGACAUCCUAAAUUGCAGCUUUUGUAACUAUAUGGAAGAUUGAAAUCGAUGUGUGACGGUGCUGCAAAUUUAUGCCAAAUCUGUUUCAACCUAUACUCUAGUCAAAUGUAGGAGUUUGUAGGUAACUGACAAAGUAAAUAAACUGGAGCAAAGUAGUUCCUGAAGAUUCUAGUAGUUCUGCAGUGAAAAUCACUACGAAAUUACGAGUGCUACGUAACAUUCUAGCAGUUCUGCACUGAAGAUUCAAGUGCAGUUCUAUAGUCGAAUGUGUAAGGGUGUUCACAAUCCUGCCUGAUUUUGUCCUUCAGUGUCAGUUAAAUAGUACAUAGCAGAGCGCAGAGAUGGUUCGUAAGAUCCAGAGGUGGUUUUCUGGGAGUUUACAACAUGGUGCACCUGGGUUUGGCUACCCUGCUGCUGUGCUGCAUGUGUUGCCAAUUAAAAUGGGAGUCUGAAAAAAAAAAGAGCCCUCAGAGGGUUUGAACGGGAGCAUGACCGCGACCGCGGCCACCGCCGCCCGGAUCGGCCGCUCCGUCCACCUCCGAGCGCCGAACGGGAGUUUACAGAGGAAGUACUACUGAAAACAGAGGCUCGAGUAGAUUAUAUACACACAAGUGGAAAUCUAUAUUCUACUGCCUUGCCUUGUACGGCGGGCUGCUAUCAUAUUGACGCAAAUGGCUUUGUUAUGCAUCGCCACAUGCACACACAUAUAUAUUUUGGACUGAAGGAGCUCCAGACUCUUUUUUUUUUUCAAAACGGAGGCAAAAGUAUUUUAGUAUUCUAAACUUUGUAAACUCCCAGAUGGACUGAAGGAGCUCCAUAAUUGAUGGACUGAAGGACGGAGCGGCCGAUCCGGGCGGCGGUGGCCGCGGUCAUCGGCGCAACCAUCUAAACUUGGGAGAUAUUUUUUAAAGCUUGCCGGCGUCUAGAACUUAUUUCCCAAUGAGAUAAUUGGGCUCCCCGCUCUUCGUUUGGCAAUUGAAGGUGGAUCUUUAAUUUCUCAAGGACAAAGUUGCGAACAAGUUGGUCACUUACGAAGGCUGCGGUCUACUUCAUCACACCUCUAGUUAUUCCAUCAAGUUCCCUACAUAAUGUUAACAAGCUUGAAUGGGUAUUCCAUUGGCCCGUUUCCCAUAGGACGACAGGUGCGAAAUGAGAGGUCAAUUGGGAGGUCGUUUUUCCGGCCACAUGAGUAUGAUGGCUUUGGGGUCCUCAACACCGCCAAGUUCAUGUGUGCUUUGUGCUUGAGAUGGCCUUGAUACGAGUGGAAGGAACCAACCAAAGUGUGGGUUGACACGGGAAUUCCAUGUGACAAGGAGGACCUCAACUUUUUCUAUGCGUCAACAACCAUCGCCAUGGGGAAUGGUACGAAGACCCCCUUGGGUCUCUCCAUGGCUCCUUGGGAGCAACCCAAAGACAUCGCUCCUCUCAUCUUGGAGGCCUCUUUGAGAGAUAUGGAAGGUGCGAGAGACUCAAAAGAACAAUACAUGGAUCCUCAAGAUCAACCCAUCCAUCAUCGUUUCCAUUGAGCACAUCCGCCAAUUAUUUUCCCUUUGGAUGCUCGUUCGCGACUUCCAUCUCGGUGAACACUUCGAGGAGGUCAUUGUGUGGAAGCACACAGUUAGUGGGCACUACUCGGUGACCUCCGCAUACAAGGCUCGGUUCUUAGGCUUGAUUCCCUCUCAUAUGGAGCAAAAUGGUUUGGAAGGUUUGAGCGCCUCCAAAAGUUAACUUCUUUGCUUGGUUGGCGAUCUGAGAUAGGAUUUGGACCAUCAAUAGGUUGGCCAAGCGGGGAUGGACAAAUUGUGGUCUUUGUCUCCUUUGCAAGAAGAAACAAGAACGCAAGGCACAUCUUUUCUUCAAAUGUCAAUACUCUUGAAACUUGAUCAUUAAGAAGCUUCACCUUGCGAACAUGGACACAUCUUAAUGGCCUUUGGAGGGCUUCAUCAAGGAUUGGUGGACAAGUAUAACCGGUGUGGGCAUCCCUCAUCGAAAAGCCAAGGCUUCCGCUUACCAUGCUUGCGUCCUAGACCAUUUUUGAAUGAGAGAAUCGCCUGUAUGUUCCGCCAUAAGAGCUUCCCACGAAAAUCUUGCUCAACAUCAUUAUAAUCAAGGCAAACCUAUGGGUCACCGCGGGUGCGAAGAAACUAGAGUCAAUUGUAUUGCGAGAAUAAUCCCCCAUGUAGUGUCUAUGGGUCAUUUAUAACCAACUCUAUUAUCUUCUUAAAUAGUAAUGGAUAAGGUAAAUUUUAUGCCUCCGUUUCAAGAAAACAAAUAGCAGAAGGCGUCCAACAGGCUGACUAAUCUAAAAAUGGGAACGGUACAUUGUUGGUCACUCGGAAAAUGUUUUUACUAAGGUAUGGAGAACCGUUCCACAGCCAUAUCAUGCAUUCAAGUGCAUUCCGCCCCAGGCAGGCCUCAGCCAGCCAACCAUUUUUUAACAUAGUACAAUCGCAGAUGCUCACACAUACACGCACAAUACUCAUCUCUAUGAAUCUCAUGCACGCAUAGCCCCUAUGAGCACCUUGUAGUGAACGGAAACAUCUCUCCCCUUACUAAACAAACAUUGUCGAGAAGUCUGAAAUAAACUCAGAAAAAUACGAUCAUCAGGGGCGAGUCUAUGACUUAAAACCCCGGUGAGCUAGUUUCAGCCCAAGAGACCUAAACCAUUUUUGAGGUUCACUUCAAGCAGCCAAUUGUCAGUGGUGGAACUGAAGCGAUAACACUGGACGGUUGCACCGACGGCCUCCGAGUCCCCGUCUGGCAGCAGCAGGCAUCCAUCUUUCCAGGGAGACAGAGCUUCAAGGCCCGCGUUAUGCCGCCCAGGUGCAGGCAGCGUUCGUGCUACAACAAAUCUGGCAGAACGAUAAGACUCUUAUCAUAGUACUCCCUCCGCUCCGAAUUACUUGUCUUGGAUUUGUCUAGAUACAGAUUUAUCUAGACUCAGAUUUAUCUAGACUAUCUAGACAAAUCCAAGACAAGUAAUUUGGAACGGAGGGAGUAUAUAGUAAGAGAAAGCACCAGAUCCUGUCGAGUCAAGAGAAAGCGAAAGCGCAGCCGCUGUGCAGAUAGGUGGAAAAACAACGACAGAACGCAAGCUGCAUGCGGCCUCAACUUGGGCGUCAGCCGAGCAAGGGGAGCUCGCCACCUGCGGCUUUCCCGAAGAGCGGUGCACGCAAAGCGACGGCGCCGAAACCAUGGUCGCGGGCUCGCGUGGGCGAGAAGUAUGUGCAAGAGUUGCCUACUUGGGCUGCGGCCGCCAACGUGGCCGCACCCGAUGCCGGCCUUCCCUCUCCUGGUGGCAUGGCAUGGUCAAACCGUGCACCCCGCUCGCCGUUUCCCGGCUAAAAAAACCGCGGCGCUGCGUCCAUUUUCAGAGCUCGGGCCGCCCUGCUGCUGUGGUGAUCGGAUAGGGCUGGGCCGGGCUUGGAUUACGACAUGCGACUCCGCGGUCACCGGAUAAACAAACAAACUAGAGGAUGAGUCCACGAAUCGUUGCUCGGUCCGUACGGCACAUGAGCAGUCAAAAUUCACAAUUGCAACAACAACUCCACAACCUCAAAAAAGUCGCAAGGGAGGGAGGGAUUAGGGGGGAUGUUUCUCUCGUACUACUCCCUUUGCUUGCCCGUCCCCAACGAUGGUGACAACACUGUAAACAUCACUCUUUGUCCACGACAGGCAUCUUUGUCCGUAGCCGAUAGCCAGAGCAUAGAGUGAGGGGAAACCGUCCAUCUCCGUCCCUCUCCCGACCCACCGGGUUCAUGUACACUUACUUGCAUCGACCAUGACAACGGCACGGCUUGAUUGCCCAACUGACUGACUGAUUAAGCACAUAGUAUCACUGAUUAAGCUCAUAGUAUCACUAUCACUAGCUAAGCUUUUUUUUUCUUUUAUGAAAGGGGCCACAUGGCCCUCAUUUUUAUUAUGAAAAUAGGAGUCUGGAUACAGCAAAACGCAACACCACACCGUUUUUUCAUAGACCUCAUGCAUCACCUCACCAGCUAAUGAACAACCUACAUCCUAUACAUAUAACCAUAUCUAUAGGAUGCCAAACCACCCACUACCGGGGAGAGAGAGCAGACUUUUAACAUCUUUAUAAUUUGCACAUCAGCCAAAACAAUAAGCAAGUGAGAAUCCUUAUGACCGUUAGGAGGCCGCGCUCCUGCGACUCCCCCGCUCCCAGCGGCGGGCCGCCGCCGCCGCCUCCUGCCGGCGUCCCAGCUUUGGCCAACCCUCCCCGGCGCCCCCUCCACCACCUUCCACCUCCCCCACCCUCCCUGCCCCUCAGCUACCCCUCGGCCCCCCUCAGGAGGCCAGCUCAACCCUUGGCGCCAAGAUCCGGUGCCGCCGCUUCGUCGAGCCCCCUUCCGCCGCCGCGCGAGGCUCGUGCGCCGCCUCGCCUCCGAAGCUCCGUCGUCGGCUCUCUCAUCCUGGACGUGCCGUCCGCGGUGGUCUGCGACCGCGUUAAUGGCGCGCUGUCUGCCUGGAGGAGCGCGGGCUGUCCUCCAUCUUCGUCCUUCUCGUCGACUGCCCCGAAGGGAAUCCUUCGUUCUGCUUCCUCUUCCAGGACGGCACGCCCGCGGGGCUCGGUGCGCUUCAUCCUCCCAGCCCCCCAUCUCCAAGGCGCUCAAGGCUCAACCUCCCCGCGCCGACAGGAUCCCGCGGGCCCACCGUUUUCUCCUGGGGAAUCGGAACCGGGCUGGACUCUGGUGCGUUCCCGUCGCGCGCGUCGUGAAGCCCGCUUCGAAACACGAAACGCCGCCUCUUCAUUGCUGCGCCGCCGCUCCUCUUCCUCGCGCGGUCAUCAAGGGGGAGGAGAACAGCCAUCCUCCGUGCCUUCAAAAGGCAGACUCCGACUCUGCCACCGCUGCAAGUCCCCCAACCACCUCGUCGCCGUCUGCACGCGGGAACGCCACCCCAAGAGGCCUCCGCGCUCGUUUCUGCAAGCCUCCACCCCGAGCCCGACGCCUCUCAACCCUCCGGCCCCGCCGGCCGCCGUCUGCGCGGCUGCUGAGAUGGACGGCGUUGGACUGGGCGACCCGUCGCUCCGCACAGAGGAAGAUACGUGCUACAUCGCCACCUCCUACGACCUCGACCGCGCUCGGCUGGACUGGGAAAGCUCGGCCAUCGUGGCUUGGACGCUCUCUGCACCGUCGGGGGCCGAUCGCUCCGACGUUGAAGACGUCUUCUGCAGGAAGUACCGUCUCCGUCCCUCGGAGUUGGUGGUGAGCUCCCACUUCCCCGAGCAGUACAUCGUCAAAUUUUCCUCCGCCGAGCUCCGCGACCGGGUGAUGCGCACCGAAAGAUGCUGCUUCAAGCUUGAUGGGCUCGACGUCCACUUCCGGCCAUGGCGUGCGGUCUCGCACGGCUACAACGCUGACCUCCACUACCGCGCCCAUGUGUUGGUGGACGGCCUGCUGCCGUUCGCUUGGCGCCCGGAAAUCGUGGACCAACUUGUGGGGCGGAACUGCGCGGUGCAACGGUUCGACGACGGCUUCACCACGAUGGAGGUCACCUCAUCGUUCGGUAUGUGGGUCUGGACGCCGUCCCCGCGCCGCAUCGCCAAGGCCAUGUGGUGCACCUUCGUCAACAAAGCGCCUUGCGGCCUCUCUUCAAGGAUUCGCAUCGACGAGGACAGGCCGGACCAGUGGAAGAGGGGCAUGACCUUCCGGGUACUUCUCCACAUCGACCGCAUCGAGGAUUUCAACGGCGCACCGGUGCUUGAUGGUGACGCCCCUAUCUCGGACUUCAGGCCGCGAGUGCACGCCCUCCCGCCUUGCCACCUGGGCACCAUAGAUGGCAUGCCAGUGGAUGCGGGCGCCGGCUCCGUCCUCCCGGCGGCGAUCCCACCACUCGGUGACCUCCGCCCGCGCGACAAGGACGCCCGCGACCAGAAGGACCUGGGAAGGUUUCAAGCCAGGCGCGGCGACUCUCGACGCUCCCGCUCAAGACCUGCGCCUGAGGGGUCGCGCCGCUCCCGCUCUCGACCCGCGGACGGUACGGAGGCGCGCCGCUCCCGCUCUCGGCCUGCGGACGGUGUGGAGGUGCGCCGCUCCCGUUCGCGGGGCUACGUUGGCCAUGACAACUCCAGACGCUCCCGUUCACGCAGCCGCGAGGAACGCCGCCGCAGCCGAUCCCGCGCUGGACGACGCUGUGAUGAUCGCAGGCCAACCACACGCCAUCCACAUGACGAUGAUGGUGACGCUGACCGCCAUUCUCCUCGCCACGCUCGGGAUAGGUCGCGCGCAAGAGACUCCGGCCGGCGCGCACCCCUGGACAACCGUCGAUGCAGCCAUGGACACCAUCGCUCCUCUCGCCACCACAACAGCGAGCGCGGGCACCGCAGCUACAACCAGAAGGACGCGCCCCCGGCUGUAGCCACGCCCCCAGCCCUGGCUUCCGUCCUGGUGCAGCUCCAGCAUUCAGUUUCUGCUGCUCCUGAGACCGCGCUGCAUUCCGCCACCAUGAAACCUCUACAGCCGAUGACGCCUACCACUCCCUCCGCGGCGCCCACCGUCUUCGCGCCGGGACAGCUGCUGGCUGCACAGUGGGCUUUGGGAGCGUCCCCGAACUCGCCUAUGCUGACCUCGCUCGGUCGCGCCUCGCCGCAUCAGGAGCCGUGCCGGGACUGGUCCCUGGCCAUCAAAGGCGUACCUGACGUCCUGAAUUCGAAGCUCGCUUCGCUGCCAUCCUCGGUUGAGGCUGCCCCACAGAGUACAUGGGAAGAUGAAGCCCCCGUGGAGGAGUGUCCCAUGGCUGCACCCACUUGUCAAGCGUCGCCGCUCUCGCUUCUGCUCCAGCCCCACGUUCCGGAGGUUUGGGACGACGACAUGGAGAAGGUAGCUUCCGAUGCUCUGGGGCAUGAGGUGGCGCUCCUGCCACUUCAUAUGCAAGAGCCAAACGGGCAGCUGGGCCAGGCGGUCGAGGCCCCAUCCGACCCGACCUUGCUGGAGCUGGAGACGCCUUCCACGGAGCUCGAGUCUGCGCCGGCCGAAACGCCUUUUUUGAGCUCGGUGGAAGAUCUCUUCGACAGGCCGCCUGUGCCGCUCCUCCCGCGGCCUGCUGCGAUCACACCACGUCCUCGACCAGCUGUGGCUGUGCCCCCUUCUGAGGCACAUCGCAGCGAGCGCCUUCGUGCUAAGCCGGUGAUGCACGCUAUGGAUAAGGCGAUACAAGUGCUCCUCAACAAAAUGGGCUGUGAUGCCGAAGGUUUGCCUCUGAUUCAAGCUAGGGAGAAGUACAUCAGCAAGUUCAAGACUCAGCUGCCAGACAAGACCAUUGAAGGUCUAGCUAUGCUUUUUAAGCUGAACGUUCGUAGCAUCAUGGAUGCGGAUAAUGCGCUGAUCGCCAUGGGCGGUGCGGGUGGAGCUGAUUCUAGCCUUCAGAAAGACUUUGCUUAGAUGGAGACCAGGUUAUGGUUUCGUGGUUCGAUGGCCCCUAGUUUUGGCAUGUUUGUCUCAGUCUUGAUGUUAUGCAAUAGCUUUGGGGGCGGGCAUGUCACCCCCGUUUUCAUCUACUAUCUGGCUUUCUUUUCUGAGCUGCUAAGAUGAUCGGUCCCAACCUCAACGUGGCUGACUGGAACGUUCGAGGCCUGAACGACCAAGCUCGCAAAGACACGGUCCACGCCUUUCUGUCAGACACUCCCUGCCAUAUCGCGUGUCUUCAAGAGACCAAACUUGAUUUCAUAGAUCAGCAAACUGCGGCCUACAUUGGUGGUUUUAAGCUCAGAUCUUUCGCUCACAAGCCAGCUGUUGGCACACGAGGUGGUAUUCUUCUUCUCUGGAAUGAAGAUCAAGUCUCUGUUACAAACGUUCACAUUGGCAGCUUUUUGAUCUCCGCCCAGAUCACCAUCCGUGAGUGCAGCACCUCUUUUCUCCUCACCACAGUAUAUGGCCCUAGCGUUGACACAGAUAAAGGAGCUUUUCUUGCCGAAAUCAUCGCCACUGCUCCCAACAACGAUCAGAAAUGGCUCAUCCUUGGUGACUUUAACCUCAUCCUUCAAGCGGAAGACAAGAACAAUGAUAAGCUGAAUCUUCGUCUCAUGGGCCAGUUCAGGCGUGCUCUGAAUACUUGCCAUCUCAAGGAGAUAAAACUACAGAACAGGAAGUUCACCUGGAGCAAUGAAAGGGAGAACCCCACUCUCGAGAGGCUGGACCGCGCUUUUUGCAACCCGAGCUGGGAUUUGACUUUCGAAAGUCAUGUCUUGCACGCUCUUUCAUCAUCCUUGUCGGACCACUGCCCCCUCCUCCUUUCCAACCAGAGUGGGCCCCGUAAACCUGCGACUUUCCGUUUUGAAACCUUCUGGACUAAAAUGCCGGGUUUCCAAGAGACGGUUCUACAGGCAUGGUCAGCGCCCUCUUCUCACACUCAGCCGGUGCACGUAAUCAACCACAAGCUCAAGACCACCGCGCUCAGCUUGCGAUCCUGGAGCAGGGGUCUCUUCUCUAACUGCAAGCUUCAGCACUCCAUGGCUCUGGAGGUCAUUCUCCAGUUAGAUGUCGCCCAGGAUUCUCGCCCCCUGUCCACGGAAGAGAGGGCCCUCCGUGCUGGCCUUAAAAGACGGAUUCUAGGGUUGGUGGCCUUGGAACGCUCUAGAAAACGUCAGGCCUCCAGAAUCAACUAUCUUCGCGAUGGAGACGCCAACACAAAGUUCUUUCAUCUGCGGAUUAACUCGAGGAAACGCAAGAACCAUAUCCAAAGGCUCAAACAUAAUGAUGGUUGGCUGACAACACAUGAAGAUAAGGAGAACGUCAUUCUCGAACACUUCUCCAAGACCUUGGGUCGCCCUCCCCUCCGGCAGCUAGACUUCAAUUGGAUGGUCGUUGAUCCUAGCACCCAUGCUUUGGAAGAUCUCGACCUCCCCUUCUCUGAGUUGGAAAUUAAGGAGGCGAUCGAUGAUAUGCCUUCAGAAAAGGCCCCCGGCCCCGAUGGAUUUUCCAUUGCUUUCUUUCAAUCAUGCUGGGAUAUUGUCAAAGAUGAUCUCAUGAGGGCCAUCACUUCUUUCUCCGAGCAGUCAGCUUCUAAUUUCGCCAUCCUCAACACAGCUAACAUCGUCCUCAUUCCAAAGAAGGACGGUGCGGAAGCCAUCACGGAUUUCAGGCCAAUAAGCCUCAUCCACGUGGUCCCGAAGAUUAUCGCUAAAGCUAUGGCUCGCCGGCUCGGUCCGAAGAUGGAUGCUAUUGUUUCUCGCUGCCAAAGUGCCUUCAUCAAAACAAGAACCAUACAUGACAACUUUAUGUAUGUCAGAAACACCGCUCGCAGUCUCCAUCGCAGCAAAACUCCAGCUCUCCUCAUAAAGCUGGACAUUGCCAAAGCUUUCGACACAGUUCGCUGGGACUAUCUACUCGACCUUCUGCGCCGUCUCGGCUUUCCUCCUAGAUGGCGUGCUCUACUAUCCAGCCUCUUCUCCUCGGCCACGUCUAGAGUAAUCCUUAACGGUAUCCCCGGUAAGGACUUUGCUCACGGCCAAGGACUUCGCCAAGGAGACCCGCUAUCCCCCCUGCUUUUCGAUAUCGCCAUCGACCCGCUGCAACAAAUUCUGGAUAAAGCAACUGCGUCUGGUUUGAUGAGCGAAAGUCCUGGAGGUUCACAACAUCCUCGGAUCUCUCUUUACGCUGAUGAUGCUGCCAUCUUCAUUGCCCCUUCGGUGCAGGAUAUAUCCUGCCUGGCAAAUAUUCUUCAAGGCUUCGGGGAGGUUACGGGCAUGGUGACCAAUGUGGCUAAGAGCUCUAUUGCCCCAAUUCGCUGCUCCGAUGUUGACCUCACCGCAGUUCUGGCAAACUUCUCGGCGGCUAUCACCCAGUUCCCUCUCAAGUAUUUGGUUGCCCUUGUCGCUUGGUAGACUCAGAAGGACCGACCUUCAGCCAUACAUUGAUAAAGCUGCGUCAAGGUUGAACCCUCUGAAAGGAAGAUUCCUAAAUCGGGCGGGGUGCUGCACUUAUGUGAAAUCUGUCCUUUCUUCCAUGCCGAUCUUCCUCCUGACUGCUAUCAAAGUGGAUAAAGGCUUCCUAAGGGCUAUGGCCAAGAUCUGUUGCGGUAUGCUAUGGGACUGCAAGGAAUCUGUCAGCGGUGGGAAAUGCAAGGUCAACUGGCAGAAGGUCUGCCGCCCUAAGGAGCUUGGUGGAUUGGGGAUCCUAGAUUUGGAAAGGUUCUCCCGCGCCCUUAGACUUCGCUGGCUUUGGGACGAAUGGAAGGCUCCUGAAAAACCUUGGGUAGGUUUUGAAACUCCUAACGAUGCCUCAGAUAGACAGCUCUUCAACGCCGCGACUCGUGUUACUAUCGGGGAUGGCAAGAAGGCCUCCUUUUGGUCUUCCUCAUGGCUUGACGGCAAGCCACCGAAAGAUAUGGCACCUCUGAUCUUCAAAGCUUCGAGGAGGAAAAACCGAACGGUCCAUGAUGCCCUUACUGACCAUACCUGGGUAGCGGAUAUUGCGGUGGAGGCCUUCACGGCAGAGCACAUUGGCCAGUUCGUCCAGCUAUGGGAUCUCAUCUCAGAUAUCCAGCUCUCCCCAGAUAUAGAAGAUUCCAUCAUCUGGACCCUCUCCCCAAAUGGAUGCUACUCUGCGAGCUCCGCCUAUAAGGCGCAGUUCAUGACCGCGCUGCCUUGCUCCUUCGGCUCGAUUGUCUGGAAAACGUGGGCGCCUCCCAAAUGCCGCUUCUUCGCUUGGCUCGCCGUCCAAAAUCGCCUCUGGACCGCGGAUCGCCUGGCCAAACGUGGAUGGCCACACCAGCCCUCCUGCCAGCUAUGCCGGUGCUCCCCUGAGACGGCGAGACACAUGCUCUUUGAAUGCCGUUACUCCAAGAGGAUCUGGUCCGCGGCGGCAUCCUGGCUCUCCUGCCCAGAAUUACUGCUUAGCAUGGGCUCUGGUCGCCCCAAGGUGGUGGACUACUGGCAGGCCUUAGCUAGGUCGCCCUCUUCCUCUCCCAAAGGUCUAAAAACGGCUAUCAUGCUCAUCACCUGGGAAAUCUGGAAGGAAAGAAAUGAGAGAGUCUUCAACAAGAAAUCCUCUCUGCCGGUGGUGGUCAUGCACAAGAUAAGAGAGGUAGCAAAAGAUUGGAUUCUAGCGGGAGCAAAAAACCUGGCGGAUCUUGUGGGCUGAUCUGUUUGUUGUUUUUGCUUUUUCCUUUUCCUUUGGGAUGGCCUAAACCAUUCCCACCUUGCUGUUGUUCUUGCUCCUUCUUUAUCAAUAUAAGGCAAAGCUUUUGCCUCGUUUCAAAAAAAAACAAAACAAUAAGCAAGUCUACAACCUAAACGCACUGCAGAGCCGCCCGAUUUUUCACGUAGAGACAAAGCACGGUCUUUGAGCAGAAGGAUUUCACUCAUACGCUCUUUUGUAGGCUUCGUUUGCUACUCGAGACAGCCUCUUGGAAACCUCUCUAAGCAUUUUUUUUGCACUCCUUUUCUCUGCAGAAUCACCCAUGAAUCCAAAAAAGAACACAAAGUAAAUAUUAAAUUGAUAGGAUUUGAAAGGAAAACACAUGGAAAACAUGAUACGUUCCUUGUUUUCCAAAUUGUCCGGAUCAAAGCAGCAGCAGCAAUAGAAAAAACAUUCCUAUCCUUACCAGAAUAGGAUGGUAUCUAGUUUUGACAAAGAUCAAAGAAAGAUAAAGGUAAUUUUGGGUUACCCAGCAAACCACAAAUCACAUUCCAUAAAAACCUAGCAAAAGAGUAUGAAAAGAAUAGACGAUCAAUGCCCUCAGAGACACCGGCAAAACUCGCAAAAAUUUAAUCCUUUCCACCCUCGUCUAGAUAAGUUAUCCUUCGUUAGGAUCCUCCCUUUGAUCACUAAGCAUAUAAACACUUUUACCUUUGAGGCAUUCUCAACCUCCAAAGAAGUUUAAAAGGAAAAGCAACAACUCUAGCUAUAAGGCAAUGAUAAAAGCGGCUUAUCCGAGAAAGAUCCAGAUUUAGUUAAAAGCCAUUUAACUUUGUGAGGCUCCUUCGACAGAGUAACCUGACUACUCAUAUCGAGUAAUUCAUUCCACAUCGUAAGAGUUUCUCCAUAAAGACAUCUCGUGAAUCUAAUACAAUCAAAAUCCUAGUUAAAGACUUUAGCAACAGUAACAUGCAACCCUACACUUUGAUUAUAUAGAGGGGGGCAAGCCCCCCCCCCCCUCCAUUAUGCACCUCAAUUGUAUACCAAACUGAUGGAUUGUUAAGCUCUCUUUUCUUUCGAGAAGACUCCUUCGCGCUUGGCCGCUCCAGCGAGCGAAGCCAACCCAAGGCAAGUCAUCAACCGACUAGAAUUUCCAUAAGGGCCCACCACGUGAGCCGCCCCUAACUAAUCAUGUAUUUAAGUCACUUUCCAAAUCAAGCCUGUCUGAAAACGAGCGUUAACACCGCGUGUAAACGAGCGUUAACACCGCACACGCGAGAUAGCAUCCCCCCUUUUCUUUUGUACAAGAGGCUUUCCCAUUCCUCUCUUAACUCCCAUGCCUUUGAGCCAAUCAAUAGAAUUUAUGUCCCACAGAUCAUAAACUUGCAUUCUUCACCCGUUUUCAUUCCACAAAAGAAAAACCCUUGGUACCAUGUGACCUCAUUCGAGUACAAGUUAGAAGUUAGAAUUGAUUGAGGCUUACUAGUAGCGGACGAGACGGUGAACAUGCCCUCAAGGGCCAAGGCAAGUUCUUCGUACGAGCCAUGCACUUGAGAUCCACCUUCCUGCCCACGGCCUAUCCAUCAAUUUGCACCUUCACCCGUUGCGCCUUCUUCCCCUGAACCUUGUGCGAGUCGGAUUCAUUGGUGAGGACCUUGUUGGAUUCGGGGUCCAAAGAACUGUCUCUCGCCUGGCCCAACACUGAAGACCUUGUUCCCUUGUUGUCUCAAGAAUGUCUCUCCCGUUCCCUUGUUGUCUCCAGAAUGUCUCUCCCUUCUUCCUGAAUCUUUCUAUGGGUGGCCACGUUGAAAUGUGAUAUCUCUGUAUUUAUUACCUACUGAUUCUCCUAUUAUCUCUAGCCUUGUAUAGCUGAUUCCUAGAGAUAUUGUAGGGGCUAGUUGGCUUGUCAUGCAAGACACCACCUGUAUAUAUUGUAACCAACUCCGAUGAAUACAAUUGAGUUGCAUCCUAUAGUCUUCUACAUGGUAUCAGUUUUCUACCGAUCUCCAUCGCUUCCGCCCUAGGCCGCAGCCGCGUCUCACGCCGCUGCCGCCGCACCAAACCCUAACCCUCCCACGCCGCUGCCGCCGCUUUCUCCCAAGCAUCCGCCGCACUAAACCCUAACCCUCCCACACCGCCGCUGCCGCUUCUUCCAAGCCGCCACCGCCAAACCCUAGACCCUCCCCAACCUCCCGGCUGCCAUCGUUUUUCCAUCAUCAUGGUGGGAUCCCACUCCUCCCUCGGCAGCUCCACCAUCGUCAUCGCCUUCACCUCCGACCGCCUCAAUGAACUCCCCAUCAAAGACCAUGUUCCUUUCAUCCUUGAUCUUGACUCCCCCUCCUACAACGCUUGGCGCACCUACUUUGCGCUUCUCUUCCGCUCCUACCGUCUUAUUGAGCAUGUUGACGGGAGCGUCGACAUCCGCGAGAUUAAAGACGACGAUGAGUGGCUCGUCGUCGACGGCUGUAUCAUCAAGUGGUUGUUCCUCACGAUCUCACGCGGACUCUUUGAUAUGGUGAACUGCUGCGGCCCGUCCGGGUGUGCCAUCUGGACGCGGCUUUGCGACCUCUUCCUCGACAAUCAGCUUCAGCUCCGUGUGUUCCUCCAAGGGGAGUUUUUCACCAUGCAGGAAAACGAUCUCACGAUCGACGAGUACUGCACCAAGCUGAAAGUUCUCUCCGAUGAGCUUCGCGACAUCGGCAUGGUGAUCGACGACUCGGUCCUCCUCACCAACCUCCUCCGCGGCCUCCACCCCGACCUUGGCUAGUCCGCCGCCAACCUCUCCCUCACCACGCCCUCCUACGCGAAGGCCGUCACCUACCUUCGGACGGAGGAGAAACGUCUCCAUCAAGCGGCUCGGCAAGCGCCGCUCGCCGCGCUUCACGCCGGCAUCGUCGGGGGUCCCGCUGCCCUCCCGCAGCCUCCUCGCGCCCCGGCUCCAUAGCUGCCCGCUGCCCCCGAUCGCGGCCGCCAGAAGAAACAGGGCGGUCGCGACGGGCGGGCCCCCAACGGGGGCUCCCAGCCCUGCCAGGCGGCUGCACCUGCCCCUGCCACGGCCUUGGCGCCCCCGCCUUGGCUCACGAGGUACAACCCAUGGACAGGGCUGGUACAUGCGUACUCCAUGCUCCUGCCGCGGUCGCCUGCUCCGGGCAUCCUCGGCCUUCGUCCGACUCAUCACUAGGCUCUCCUGGCCGCGCCGGGAGGCUCCGGUCCUGGCGGCUCCUCGGCGUACGGCGGGCCUGCGCCCUACGGCGCCGCCAUGCCGCCCCCCUACCACGCCGCCCCCACCGGCUACUCCUAUGACCCGGCGCUCCUAGCCGCCCUCCAUGCCGCCCCUUCCCCAAGCAACUACUCCGGCGGUGGGGAUUGGUACAUGGACACAGGCGCCGCCGCUCAUAUGGCGUCGCACCCCGGUAUCCUCUCUCAUUCCUCUCCAUACCCCUUCUUCUCCCGCAUCGUUGUUGGUGAUGGCUCUACUCUUCCCAUCACUCACCACGGCGCGUCUUCCCUCCCCUUAUCAUCAUCAUAUUUACCUCUUAACAAUGUUCUUGUGUCUCCAUCCUUCAUCAAAAAUUUAUGUUCCGUUCGUUCUCUUACUCGUGAACAUCCUGUUACAAUUGAGUUUGACAAACAUGGUUUUCUGUUAAGGAUGCCCACUCCCGGAAGGUUCUGCACCGAUGUGAUUCUCCCGACGAUCUCUACCCGUGCGGCCCAACGACGAGCCACGGUCCUGUUGCCCUUCACGCCGACGUCUCCCUCUGGCAUGCUCAUCUCGAUCAUCUUGGCGCCCACGUUCUUCAUAAAGUUUUGCGGACUUUUCCGUUUUCAUGUAAUAAAUCAGAGGCACACACUUGUCAUGCGUGUCGCAUAGGAAAACAGGUUUGUUCGCCAUUUUCUUCUUCUUCAUCAAUUGCCACUUUUCCCUUUGAUGUUAUUCACUAUGAUGUUUGGACAUCUCUCGUGCCUAGCAAUUUGGGCUUAUCAUAUUUUGGAUGAUUUCUCUCAUUUCACUUGGACCUUUCCGUUACGCCGCAAAUCCGAUGUCGCCUCAACACUUCAUGCUUUCUAUGCUUAUGUUGCCACCCAUUUUCAUCGCACCAUUGCUCAUCUUCAAAUGGACAACGGGAAUGAAUUUGAUAACUUUGCUAUUCGCACUCUUUUAUCCACUCAUGGCAUUAUUUUUCGUCUUACAUGUGCAUAUACAUCAUAGCAAAACGGUCGUGCCGAACGUGUUCUUCGCACGCUCAAUGCGAGCGUUCACGCUUUGCUCUUCCACGCGCAUAUGCCUGCUCGGUUUUUGGCCCGAUGCUCUUGCCACAACUACACUUCUUCUCAACAUCCGGCCUUGUAAACCCCGGUGAAACUACACCCCUCAUCAUCUCCUAUUUGGUUCACCCCCGUCAUAUGAUGAUCUCUGUGUCUUCGUCUGCCUUUGUUAUCCUAUCACAUCCACGGUGCCGCACAAGUUGGCACCUCACUCUCUUGCCUGCGUUUUUCUUGGGUAUCAACCCAACACCAAAGGCUUUCCGCUGUUAUGACCCAGAGUCCCAUCGUGUGAUCGUGUCUCGGCACAUUUAUUUUGAUGAGCUUGUUUUUCCUUUUCAGCAGGUAUCGACGCGUUCUGCGCCCUCUCUAGACACCCCUCCUCGACGGGUUCGCGGAGCCCUUACGCUCCCUCCAUCCCGUCGCUUGGGCACAUCUGCGACCCCGUCGGACUCCUCGUCCUCGGUCAUGGCCUCGCUGCCCUUGGCGUCCCCCUCGUCGGCUCAGGAGGAGCCGGCCUCCCAGGCCUUGCUGGGCCCUCUCCUCUCGGCUCUGGAGGAGCCAGCCUCCUCAGGACCGGCCCUGCUCCCGGCCUCGCCCCAGGCUGGGCCCUCGGGGGUCUCGUCCCCAACCUCGAUUGGGUCUCCAUGCGUCUCACGAUCCUCCUCGCCGGCUCAGGAGGAGCCGGCCCUCUCAGCUCCGUCGACGCCUUCGUUGUCGUCCCCCGCCGGGCCCUCUGGCGCCUUGCCGGCCACGCCAUCGGCCUCUCCCGCGUCCUCUUCGUCGUCUGAGCCUCCGGUUGUGGCCCCUCGACGCGGUCCACGCCCGCCUCCCCCGCCGCCUCACCACUCCAUGGUGACGCGUGCCAAGGCUGGGGUGCAUCAGCCGAACCCGCGCUACCACAACCUUAGCGUCACAACCAUCUCUCUGGUUCCACGCUCGGUGCGUUCUGCAUUGAGUGAUCCGCAUUGGACCGCCUCUAUGCGCGCUGAGUAUGAUGCUCUUGUCGCCAAUCGGACUUGGACUACGCGUCCUCUUGGAGCGAACGUCAUCUCCGACAAGUGGGUUUUUCGUCACAAAAUCCUCCCGGACGGUUCUCUCGACAGGUACAAGGCUCGCUGGGUUGUGCAUGGCUUUGCACAACGUGUCGGUGUUGACUUCUCCGAGACCUUCUCUCCGGUUGUCAAACCCGCAACGACCCGUGUUGUCCUCCAGCUGGCCGCCUCUCGUCGCUGGCCCGUACAUCAGCUCGACAUCAACAACGCUUUCUUGUAUGGCCAUCUUCAGGAGCGGGUUCUCUGUCAGCAGCCAGCUAGGUUCGUUGACCCUCAGCGUCCGGAUGAUGUCUGCCUGUUGUCACGGUCAUCAUACGGCCUCAAACAAGCCCCGCGCACGUGGUACCAGCGCAUCGCGGCGUUCCUCGGUCUUCUCGGGUUUUGCAGCACCACCUCUGACACGUCAUUGUUCGUGCUCCAUCGGUCUGAUCAUGUGGCUAUGCUUUUGCUCUACGUCGAUGAUAUUGUCAUCACUGCUUCCCGAGAGGAUCUUCUUCGCGACAUCAUUGGUCGUCUUGGCUCUAAGUUUCGGCUGAAGGACCUAGACGUGUUGCACUUCUUCCUCGGCAUUAAUGUGCGACGUGAUGCCUCUGGGUUCUUCCUUCACCAGGCACAAUACGCUCUUGAUCUUCUGCAUCGUGCCAGCAUGACUGACUGCAAGCCGGCCGCCACGCCUGCCGAGACCAAGCCGAAGCUCGCCGCCACCGCUGGCCAGCCCGCUACUGAUGCCGCCCUCUACCGCAACAUUGUUGGCGCCCUUCAGUACCUUAUGCUCACCAGGCCAGACAUCCAGUUUGUCGUGCAUCAAGUUUUCUUGCAUAUGCACUCGCCUCGUGAUGUUCACUGGUCCUUGGUCAAGCGCAUUCUUCGGUACAUUCGCGACACGCCAACCUACGGUCUUCAUCUCCGCGCCUCCGCCUCGACUGAGCUUCUUGCUUACACUGACGCGGAUUGGGCUGGCUGUCCUGACACUCGACACUCCACGCUUGGUUAUUGUGUCUUCUUCGGUGACUCUCUUGUCUCUUGGUCCUCUAAACGGCAGCCUACCGUCUCCCGUUCGAGUGCCGAGGCCGAGUACCGAGCUGUUGCCAACGUGGUUGCGGAGAUUUGUUGGCUUCGUCACCUUCUUGGUGAGCUUCGGAUUCCACUUCCGAAAGCCAUCGUGGUCUUCUGUGAUAACGUGUCGGCCACCUACCUCGUGGCUAAUCCGGUGCAGCACAAGCGCACCAAACAUAUUGAGGUCGAUGUUCACUUUUUGCGUGAGAAAGUUCAGUUGGGUCAGCUUCGAGUUCUUCAUGUACCGACUACCCAACAGUUCGCCGACAUCAUGACCAACGGGUUGCCAACUGCUGCAUUUCAGGAAUUUCGUUCCAGUCUUUGCACGCUGAGCCGACGCUUCGACGGGGGUUGNNNNNNNNNNNNNNNNNNNNNNNNNNNNNNNNNNNNNNNNNNNNNNNNNNNNNNNNNNNNNNNNNNNNNNNNNNNNNNNNNNNNNNNNNNNNNNNNNNNNNNNNNNNNNNNNNNNNNNNNNNNNNNNNNNNNNNNNNNNNNNNNNNNNNNNNNNNNNNNNNNNNNNNNNNNNNNNNNNNNNNNNNNNNNNNNNNNNNNNNNNNNNNNNNNNNNNNNNNNNNNNNNNNNNNNNNNNNNNNNNNNNNNNNNNNNNNNNNNNNAUUAUCUCUAGCCUUGUAUACCUGAUUCCUGAAGAUAUUGAAGGGAUUAGUUGGCUUGUCACACAAGACACCAACUAUAUAUAUUAUAACAGACUCCGAUGAAUACAAUUGAAUUGCAUCAUAUAGUCUUCUACGGGCCAUCCCACCACACUACCUCCAACUCCCCCAAAACAAACAUCGUUGUAUAGGUUGACUAUAUCAGAAACACUCUUAUAUUCCCGCAAAAAGAAAAAGAAACACUCUUAUAUUAUGGGACGGAUGGAGUAUAAUUUAGAAUUGUUUGAUUUUAAAUUCAAAUUCGUUUGAAUAAUUCAUGCGAAAAACCCUUGAUGGCGUGAGUGAGUGAGUGCCUGUUUAUCACUAUAGUUUGAAUAAUUCGGGCGAAAAACCCUCCACAAUUCUGAUUAUCCCUAGCUAUGAUGGAUUGUUAAGCUCUCUUCUUUCUAGUAAGCUCUUCUCUUUUGGUAAAAGUGGCUUUCCUCCGAUUUUUUCAUAUAAAAAGUCGAAGAAUUCAAGCAAGCUGCGACCGACUGACUGAGCGUGAGUGCUUGACCGAAAGGAAAAAGAAGGGGCCAGAAUGCCAGAUAGCUCACAUAGGAAAGAGACCCAUCCUCACAAGUCAAGAGCCGAUCCUUGCAGAAUCUAACUAAUCAACAAAGUCAAGCACAUAGAUAAUUAGUGGCACACAGAUUUGAGACACCGCUAGCUGCACUUGAAGUAGUACAUCAAAUCAAAUGAUAUUAUAUAUCACGAAACAGGGGGAGGCUACUAAGCCCAUUACAACCAUUUAGUUCCAAGUAAUCCAAAACCGUUGCUGGUCUCGGACAAAAAACAGGCACUCACACACGAACGCCACGCUUAAUAGUUUUACAAUUCUUUGCUGUAUUCAGCUUGCACCAUACGCGCUUGUUUAUCUACAGAAGAAUGAUGCAUCCGGUUCCGCGAAUGGUAGAAUUAAUAGGUUGCUUACUAUAAUAGGAGUAAUUAAUUAAUUACUGAAGCUGCUGUCCGUCUUGCUUGCUGCCGGGGCACGAGGAGUGCUGCUGGUGGGGCUUCGGUGUCUUGAUUGAUCAC